CAAUUUCCGCCGCUCCAAGCACAGGGCAGAUUCCUCUCAAUUUCGGUUCCUUCUUCCUCUUUUAUUUUCCUUUUAUUAUUUUGUUUUUAAUUCAGCCAAUGAGUGGCUGAUUCUUUUAAUUCUAGUUGAGGAUUGGUUGAAACUAAGGUUGUUUAAUGGGUUGUGAGAUCUGAACAUAAAUUAUCGUCUUUGGUUUUGUUCAAUAUUUAUGCAAUUGAUGCUUUAAUUAUAUGAUUACUUUGUUGUUUUGAUCAAAUUGGCCACUUGGUUUUAAUUGCAAAGUUAAUUGAUUGUUAGUUGGGAUUAUUUUUAGUCCGUAAUUACUGGAAAUAUUCUGACCUUAGAACACUUGGCGUAAAAACCAAGGAAUUGCAUGAUCUAGCGUUAUCUCCAUACGUUUGGGUAGCUAGGAUUGGAUCUCUCUAUUUCUUUAUGCAAUUGACAAUUGUUUUGAUGCCUAUGACCCAAGGACGUUCCUUGGCAAUUUGUUAAUUAGUAAUUAAUUUAAUCAUAAGGAGAGACAUGGUGGUGAGAAGCGUCUUCCACCCCCAUAACUAAUCUAUUGAACCAAUCAAGAUAAUCUAAGUUUCAAUGAUCAACCCAAACAACCAAAGUGGAUCCAUAUCUUCAACUAGACUUCUCUCAUAUUGAUUUUCUCUUUUAUUUUAAUUAUUUGCUUUCUAUUAUUACUCUCAUUAUUAGUUACUACAAUCAAUCUCAAACCCCCCUAUUCUACUUUUAUUGCAAUUUAUUUUUAUUCUGCUUCCAGUUUAUCUCAUUUGAUCCCACUUUCAGUCUUUUAUCUCAUCUUUAAUUUAUUAUUGUUUCAGUUCAUUUUAUUGGUCUUGUUGAGAAAAAUAAAUAGGUAAUCAAUUCUCUGUGGAUUCGAUCCUUUCACCACUAUCUGCAGUUGUAAAAUUGUUGAUAACCAGGAAGGUUAUUUUUGACCGGCUUCGACAACCGCGAGUCAAAAAUUGGCGCCGUUGCCGGGGAAUUAAUUUCACUUGUUUGUUUGUUUUUUUUUUCAUGACCAGAUCUGAACACAGGGACACACUGCCCUUUGAUCCAAAAAUUGAACGCACUCUCAGAAGACUUAGAAAGCAAGCCGCAGAAGCUUCAUCUGAAGCAAUCGAAUUUUACCAACAAGCUGCACCAAUGGCUGAACCUAUUCCACAAGAUGCUGCCCCAAAUGGACUUGCUAUCCAGAACCAAAUAGUCCAAGAAAAUCCAGCAAAUAGGCCUCAAGAACAAAGAGAAAGAAUUAUGGGAGAAUUGGCAACCCCUGUAGGUGACUAUGCACCACUUUGCAUCACCUACCCACCUCUGACAGUUCCCUUUGAACUGAAGACAGGUUUGAUACACAUUCUCCCUAAGUUUAGUGGUAGAGAAAAUGAAAAUCCACACAAGCACUUAAAAGCAUUCAAUAUGAUCUGUUCAUCUAUGAAACCUCAAGGUAUCUCUGAAGACCAAAUUAAGUUAAGAGCCUUCCCCUUUUCAUUAGAAGACUUUACUAAAGAUUGGUUAUUUUACUUGCCACCUGGAUCUAUUACUUCUUGGGAUGAUAUGGUCAAAGCCUUUUUGAAUAAAUACUUCCCAACCCAUAAAUCAAUUGGUAUAAUAAGGGAAAUCACAAGCAUAAAGCAAAAACCAUCUGAGGACCUUUAUGAUUAUUGGGAAAGAUUUGAAACACUUUGCACAGAAUGCCCUCAACAUGACAUGUCAGACAAGGCCCUUAUACAAUUCUUCUAUGGAGGAUUAUCUCCCUUAGAAAGAAAAUUCAUUUAUGUAACCUGUGGAGGCUCCAUUGAAGACAAAACACCUAGACAAAUGAGAGAAUUAAUCUCCACUCUUGCAGCCUCAUCUAGGCAAUAUGGAGAAGAGAGGCAACUACAAAGGGCCAAUGAGGUAAAUUUUCCUUCUAUGUCUGAACUAACAUCUGUUAUAAAAAAUGCUGUGGUAGAUGUGGUACAGCAGAUUCAAGCACCCCAGCCACCUAGGCCAUGUGGGAUUUGUUUAUGUGUGGGACACCUAACUGAUCAAUGUUCCACACUCCAAGAAGACCAUCAGCAAGCCAACGCCAUUGGGAGGUACAACAACCAGCCUAGAUAUGAUCCAUACUCCACUACAUACAAUCCAGGUUGGAAAGAUCACCCCAAUUUUAGCUAUGGAAAGAGCAACAGUGAUCAGAACUACCAAAGUUACCAAAGAAAUCAAGCCCAACCAGCACCUUCAACUCCAAAUCAGAACCUUGAGAAGAUCAUGCAAACAAUGAUGGAAACAAUGGUGAGCACCAUGCAAGGCGUGCGACAAGACCUAGGCCAAAUGACCACAUCUAUGCAAGGCGUGCGACAGGACCUAAGCCAAAUGGCCACCUCUAUAGGCCAACUGCAAUCCCAAGGUAAGCUCCCUUCUCAAACUGAAACCAACCCCAGACAGAAUGUUAGUGCUAUUACUUUGAGAAGUGGCAAAGAGCUUCGAGACACUAAUCAUGAGCAAGAAAAAGAACCAAAGCCACCUGAAGCCUCUCCAUCGCAAUCUGCAGCUCCUCCUGCGCAAAAAACUGACCCAAAGGUAAGCUUUCACAUUCCACCUCCUUUUCCCAAGAGAUUUGAAAGAACACAAAAAGAAAAGGAAGAAAAGGAGAUCCUUGACACUUUCAGAAAAGUACAAAUCAAUAUACCUCUGCUAGAUGCUGUUAAGCAGAUUCCCAUAUACGCUAAAUUUCUGAAAGAACUUUGCACUAAUAGGAGAAAGCUUGCAGAGAGAGAAAAAGUAAGUGUAGGUGAGGUUGUGACUGCUGUUAUUAAAAGAGAACUCCCUACUAAAUGCAAAGACAAAGGUAUGUUUGCUAUCUCCUGCAAGAUAGGGAAUGUUGAUAUUAAGAAAGCCAUGUGUGAUCUUGGUGCAUCCAUAAAUGUCAUGCCUCUCUCCAUCUAUAAAUCUCUCAAUGCUUGUGCACUCAAAGAAACAAGAGUUGUGAUUCAACUAGCUGAUAGAUCUGUGGUAUAUUCCAUAGGUGUUCUAGAAGAUGUGUUAGUUCAAGUAAAUGAACUAGUCUUUCCUGCUGAUUUUUAUGUGAUUGAUACUAAGGAAGAUAGUUAUAAUACUAGUUCUGAUAUCCUUCUUGGACGUCCUUUCUUGAGUCCUGCUAGAACUAAGAUUGAUGUGCAUGAUGGUACUCUCACUAUGGAAUUUGAAGGGGAAGUAAUUAAAUUUAAUGUCUAUGAUGCUAUGAAAUAUCCAUAUGAUAUGUCACCUGUUUAUGGUCUUGAUAUUGUUGACUGCUUGAGCCAGGAAAUUUUUGACAAAAAUCAAGAUGAUAUUCUUAACAGUGAUUUCUGCAGAGAUACUGAUCAGGUAUAGAUUGAGAGCCAGAAAGAGCCAAAACUGAAAGAAAUUGUCUGUAGCAUCCAGCAGAUAGUUUACAGUCAAGCACAGAACGAGGGAAACUCCCUUCAGAAGGAUGCGCAGAAGAGCCUUGCGCCAUCUGAAACACCUUCAUGCGCAACUCUUCAGCUCCUAACGCAAAGCUCACCCGCGACUCUUCAUGCGCAACUCUCAUUAUUAGUUACUACAAUCAAUCUCAAACCCCCCAUUCUACUUUUAUUGCAAUUUAUUUUUAUUCUGCUUCCAGUUUAUCUCAUUUGAUCCCACUUUCAGUCUUUUAUCUCAUCUUUAAUUUAUUAUUGUUUCAGUUCAUUUUAUUGGUCUUGUUGAGAAAAAUAAAUAGGUAAUCAAUUCUCUGUGGAUUCGAUCCUUUCACCACUAUCUGCAGUUGUAAAAUUGUUGAUAACCAGGAAGGUUAUUUUUGACCGGCUUCGACAACCGCGAGUCAGAUACAAUCCCAUACAUGAUCAUACUUUGGCAUAAAAACUUAAACUUUUUCAUACACCAACCUUGACCUGUGCAUGCACUAUAACUGAAAACAUACAAACCCCAUACUAGAGCCCUCAUCAAAUGCUCUAGUUGGGUCAACACAUCAUAUGUCAAGCCUGAUUCAACAUAACUCAGCAUUAAAACAUUUCAUAUAGAUCAUGUACAAAAGGGAUUAACCAUACAUUAGGGCCAAGCACAAUUCUAAUCCUCAUUACAUCACUAUACAAUACUUUACACUACAUUACUUUAUUUUACAUACCAUGUCCACUACUAAUCUAUUACAUAACUAUAACUUUUACCCUUGACGACCUCCCAGUCUAUUCUGAACCUGCAAACCUGGGGGUUAAGAAAAAGGGGUGAGCUACAAGAGCCCACUGAGCAGAACAAUAAAAACAAUUUCUAAACAUAUGCCAUCAUAAAAUGCAUCACAUCACAAACAAUUCAUGUCACGGAUGGAUUUGUCACCAAUAACCCUCUACAUAGUCCAAUUGUGCCAGGGGCGUAGAAUGGGCCUCACUGGACUUCCAUACCGUAUCAUAACAUGCCAUAUCGAGGGCUAGUGGAUCAUCCAAUAUCCAUCCACAUCAACAUCAUAUUAUGCAAUGCAUCAUAUUCGUGAAUUCUAAUGCAAAACAACCUAAUAUAUAUCGUGGCAUUCGUGAUGCAUGGAUCAUGCUAAAAAGAUUUCAUUGCGUUGAAAAUAAAAGAAGUUCUGUUCUACUCACCUCUGGCUGACUCUGGACUAACUCUGAAGCAGCUAACACUGCUGGCCUCCUCGGUUCCUCGGGUUCGAUCCUACACAGGUGGACUCAAAUGAGGGACCAAACAAACUCUAAACAUCUCCCCAAAAACCCCCUAAAACAUUCAAAGAAAACAUGCAAAGGAAGGCUGAACAGGGCACUUUCGGUGGCAGGUUCGGCGGCCGAAAGUCCCUCCAGAGCUGAAAGUCAGGCACUUUCAGGGGCAGGGUUCGGCGGCCGAAAGUCCUUCCAGAGCCGAAAGUCACCCACUUUCGGGGGCAGGUUCGGCGGCCGAAACUCCCCUCCAGAGUCGAAAGUCCAAACUUUCGGGGGCGAGUUUAGGCGGCCAAACUGCCUCCACAGGCAGGUUCAGCGGCCGAACAUGGCUUCGACAGCCGAAAAUGGCAAAACCCAAUUCCGCCUCAUGCAUUCAGCCACCCAAAACUUCACAACAUGCAUUUAACCAUUCUAAAACAUGUAUAAACACUUAUUCAAGCAUAUAGGGGCAUAAAACUAGGCUAAACCCCAACAAGCAUCACAUUAAGCAUACAUUUAACAUAAAGGGUACAUAAACCCUAAUAUUAAACAACUAGCCUAAACAUGCAUUAAAACCCCUUAACCCUUCAUAAAACUUACUUAGAACAUAAAAGAAGAUAUAACCUACACUUACCUCUUGAAGAUCGAGAUGAGAGGUGAUCCAAACUUGGAGAUUGGGAGAAAUCGAGCUCCGGGGGUCUCCAAGCCUCAAAACUUUAAUCUUAGCUCAAAAAUAUUCAAAACAACGUAAAACUCAUCAAAAACUUGAAAAGAUUGAAGGAAAACAACAAAUCGACCAUGGAAGGGCAAAAUCUCACCUAUGCCCGAAAAUAGAGAGAGAAAACUCGCCCAUUUUCGAACAAGGGGCCUUUUAUAAGUGGCUGGCCAGACUACCUUUGGGGGCCAAAGGUACUUCCGCAAACUCCCCAUGUUCGGCGGCCGAACCUGAGUUUUCUUCCUUGGUCUUUUCUUUCAAAACUCAUUUUCUUUCUUUAUUAAAACCAUAAAAACACAUGAAAACACUUUAGAAAACCAUAAUUUACCCUUCUAUAGGGUUUCGACAUUCGAGGUUCCACUGGAAAGUGAGAAUUCUGAUGCCGGAGCCUAGCCGGGUAUUACAUUCUUCCCCCCUUAAGAACAUUCGUCCCCGAAUGUUCAAUAAACAAGCAUAGCAUGGCAUAACACACAUACCAACAAGGAAGCUGUAAUACCCGGUUAGACUCCGGUAUCAGAAUUCCUACCGUCCGGUGGAAUCUCGGAUGUCGAAAACCUCUAGAAGGGAAAAAUCAUGUUUUUAUAAAAUAUUUUAAUGUAUUUUAUGUUUUAAGUGAAAAGGAAAUUGAGUUUUGUAUGAAAAAGACCAAGGAGGCAUUUCCAGGUUCGGCCGUCGAACCUCAAGUUCGGCCGCCGAAGGUGGGAUGGUUUAGGGGGGCAUGUUAGGCUUCCGAAAGUCUCAAAAGGUUCGGCCGCUGAACCUCAUGUUCGGCCGCCGAACUUGCAUGAGAUGUGGGGGCACGUUCGGCUGCCGAAAGGUGGUCUGCCAGCCCUAUAUAAAGAGCUCCAUGGCCGAAACGGGCGAGUUUUCUCCCCAUUUUCGGCCACGGUGAGUUCAUGCUCUCCUUUGGUUCGUUUUUGAUGUUUUUCCUACGAUCUCUCACAUUUUAACAAGCUUUAUAUUGAUUUGAAGAGAUUUGAGCAAAAAGAGCAAGUUUGGAAGCUUGGAGACUAAAGAGUGGAUUUCUCCCUACCUCCAAGCUAGGAUCAUCUUUCCUCUAGAUCUUCAAGAGGUAAGUUUAGAUCCAACCUUUCUGGCAUGUUUUAAACUAGUUUUUAUGAAGAUCUAUGGGGUAGAAAUGCAUGAUAGGUUAUUGUUAUGUUUAUGGGUGUAUGUAUGUUUAUGAACAAUGUGGGUUGUUUGAUGUGUUGUAGAUGGGGUUUAGGAUAGUUUGAAGCCCCUAGGAGCUUGUAUGCUUGUGGAUGCAUGUUGUAGAAUAGGAAAAUGCAUGAUUGAAUGUGUUGGGAGGCGUUUAUGCAUGUUGAGCUGAGUUUCUGCCCUUCUGGGAGAAACCAGGUUAGGCAGCCGAAGGUUCUUUCGGCCGUCGAACCUGCCUGUGAUAGCAUGAAUCGGCUGCCAAACCCUGCCCCCGAAAGAUGACUUUCGGCUCUGGAAGGGACUUUCGGUCGCCAAAGGUACCGCCGAACAUGCAUGAGUUUCGUCUCUGGAGGGAACCUUCGGUCGCCGAAAGUGCCGCCGAAGGUGCAUGAGUUUCGGCUCUGGAGGGCCUUUCGGCCGCCGAACCUGCCGCCGAAAGUGCCCUGUUCAGCCCUCCUUUACAUGUUUUCUAUGGAUGUUUUAAGGUGUUUUAGGGGGUUUUUGGAGAGUAUUUUCAGAGUUAUGUUCAUAGAUGUUUGGUCCCUCAUUUGAGUCCACCUGUGUAGGUUUGGACCCGAGGAACCGAGGACCCCAGCAGUGAGUCAGCUGCCCCAGUGUCUGGUCUGAGCUAACCAGAGGUGAGUGGAAUAACUCUUUACGUUUUAAAAUAAAUAAUAAAUGAUUCAGCAUGAUUCAUGCAUCACGAAUGCCAUGUGAUAUAAUAGGUUGUUGCAUUAGAAUCCACGAAUAUGUUGCACUGCAUUCUUUAUUGUGGAUGUGGGUGAAUGCUGUAUGAUCCAAAUAGUCCCUGAGGAAAGACCAGGACCCCAUUCUACGGCCUGGCAUGGAAUGAAAGACCAGGACCCCAUUCUAUGGCCUGGCACAAUAUGGAAUGCGAAGACCAGGUGCCAGGUGCCAGAUGAGGCCCUAGGGAAAUGGUAAGUAAUGUUAUGAUAUGACAGGAAGACCAGAACUCCAUUCUACGGCCUGGCACGGAUAUGAUGCUGGGACUAAUUAGUGACAGGUUCACCCUUGAUGUGAAUUGUCUGUGAUGUGACUCAUUUCAUGAAAGCAUGAAUGUUAAUAUAUGUUUUUACUAUUCUGCUCACUGGGCUCUAGUAGCUCACCCCUCUCCCUUAACCCCCAGGUUUGCAGGUACAGGGUAGACCAGGAGGUCAGCAAGAGUAAUGAAGUCAUGGUCAUGUAAUAGCUAGAGUGGACAUGAUAAAUGUUGUUAUGUUAUGUUGAGUACAGUAAUGUAAAAGUAUGAUAUAGAAUGUCAUGUAAUAAUGCUUAUGAAAGUUUAUAGUUGUACUUGACCAUAGUAUUAUGUUAAUCCCUUCUAAUACAUGAUCUUAAUGUUUAAUGAUGCUUAUAUGAACCAAACUCAAUACAUGUUAUAUCACCCCUUUGGGGCAAUGAUGAGACUCCACAGAGAAGUUAAUGUUUAUGUAUAGUGCAUGCACAGGUUGAGUUUGGUGAAUGAAUGAAUGGAAAGAAAAGUUUAAAUUUUUUAUGUUUGUUGUUGAUCAUGUAUGGGAUUAAACAGGUUUACAGGAUGAUGUUAGGCUUACUACGGGUCCCGGCGGCCUUAUGCCGACCUGGAUCCUAGCGCUGGUAGCGGUCCGAAUUUUUGGGUCGUUACAGAUUGGUAUCAGAGCCCUAGGUUCAUAUGGUCGGACCUAGAGUGUCGGGCUCAUAGAUGUUAUAGAAGGUCAAGCACAAUAGGAAAAUCAUGUCUACUAGGAUAGGAUGUAGAGUCCUGUCUUGAUUGAUGAUGUGAAAUGCCAUGAGUUUAUGCAUGUGCAUUAAUGAUAUGCUAUGUAUGUGACGUAUGCGAUGCGGGUUCAUGUGUUUGCACAUGAACCAUUUGAUGCUAAUGUUUAUGUGAUGUGUGCUGUUUUUCAGUAAACAGGAUGAGAGGAACUCGUCGAUCUGCACGAUUGACUGGAGUACCACCCCAGGACGAGGGCACUGAUGCCCGUCCUCCUGCAUUGCCUAGGGCAAUGUCAAGUAGGUCCAGCAGAGAAAGAGCAGUAAGAGACCCUAGAAGGUCUUUAGAUCUGGGUAGAAGCACAUCAGUGAGGGGAACAGUGCAAAGGGAUAUGUCAGAGGAUGUGGGGGAUCAGAUGGAUGUGGAUCAGAAGAGGGAUGGUAGUCUCGGAGUAAGUAUGUCGGAAGAGGGAAUGAGAGAGUCCCAAGGAGGCACUCAGGCCUCGGGAUUUGUUCAGCCACCUUACUACCCAUCCUUUUCACAUAACCCCGGGUAUUCGAUGGGAGGUACAUCGGAUUAUCCCAGUUUUAACCCUUAUCCCUCUCAGAUGCCAUACCCACCUUUCUACCCACCGUACCCACAGUACCCCAUGUACCCACCCCCAUCUUUCUAUCCAGGUACAGCAAACCCUACCCCAGGGGAUGCUGCACCUCCUCCACCACCAGCAGCACCUACUGUCCCAGAAAUCCAAAUGCCUAAGCCUAGCUCAUCUGGGGGGAGCAAGGUCAAGAUGAUCGAUUACAUGAAGUUGGGUGCUCCCCAGUUUGAAACCGGUGAUGACCCAUUUGUGUACCUUGAGAGGGUCAAGACAAUUACAGAUGAGAUAGGAGCUGAUGACAGUAGAGCCAUCCAGAUGGCUAGGUUCACAUUAAAAUGCAAGAAGGCCCGAGAGUGGUUUAAGAAUUAUGUGAACCCGAGGUUGGAUAGUCUAUCCUGGGAAGAGUUUGCAAAUGAGUUUGCAGGAUGGGCUUUCCCUGACAGUUCCAAGGAGCUGAAAAUGAUUGAAUUUGAGCAGUUGAGGCAGACAGAUGAGAUGAGCGUGGAUGAGUAUACAGACAGAUUCUUGGAGCUGUUGCCGUAUGCUGGGCAGAAUCUGGACACAGAUCAGAGGAAGUCAAGGAGGUAUAUCAUGAGGCUCCAUUCCAUGUACUCCUCCUUGAUUCAGUCAGCAGAGAGGGAGAGUUUCCAUGCCAUAGUGGAUAUGGCUCGGAGGAUGGAGGCUAGUGCUAUCAUCGAAGGGAAAGUCAAGCAGUCAGUGGCACAGCCUUCUGGUUCCAAGACCCCAGGUGGGGGAAAGUUAGACCCUUCUUCUCUCAGUUCAGGCAGUAAGAGAUGGGGUAAGGCCAAGUCUAAGAAGAACAAGUUCUGGAGCAAGAUUAAGUCAGGUCUGGGAUUAGGUAGUGGCUCAAGCUCUGGUGCAGAUAAUGCAGUAUGUGCAAGGUGUGGUAAGCCACACAAGGGAGUCUGCCGGGCUAGGACGGCAGCCUGUUUCAGAUGUGGGCAAGAGGGCCACAUGGCUCGGGAGUGUCCUAGGGCAGCCUUUGGGGCACAGUCUCAGCAGACAGCUUCAGGUAGUGUGGCACAGCCAGUAGCUCCAGCCGCGACUCAGGCUAGUGGUAGAGGCAGAGAAAGAGGGGCAGCCUCUUCUUCAGCGGGUUUCAGGGGUGAGGGUCUGUCAGCUCCAGCACGGAUCUUUACCAUGACUCAGCAGGAGGCAAACACAUCCAACACCGUGGUGUCAGGUAAUCUCAUCAUUGGUUGUUCCGAUGUGUAUGCAUUAUUGGACCCUGGUGCAUCUCAUUCUUUCAUUGCUUCGAGGGCCGUCGAGAGAUUGGGAUUGAUGGUCUUUGGGUUAGAGUGUCCCCUAUGGGUCAGUGGACCCAAGUGUGACCCGUCAGUGGUAGAGUCAAUCUGCCAGUGUAGUCCAGUUUUUAUAGAGGGAAGAUGCCUUUCUGCCGACCUUGUGGUUCUAGACUUGAAUGAUUUUGACGUCAUUCUAGGGAUGGAUUGGCUAUCUACCCAUGGUGCUACCUUGGAUUGCAGAGACAAGGUAGUCAGGUUCAGAUGUCAGGAUGGGUCAGAGGUUGUCUUCAGAGGAGACAGGGGGAGUACACCUAGAGGUUUGAUAUCAGCCCUUCAGGCUCGUAGGCUACUCAGGAGGGGUUGUCAGGGUUUUCUGGCUCAUGUGAGGGAGCUGGAUAGUCAUGUUAGAGAGCCCGCCUCAGUGCCCGUGGUCAGUGAGUUCUUAGACGUUUUCCCAGACGAGCUGCCAGGUUUACCACCUGCUAGGGAGAUAGAGUUCGAAAUUGAGUUAAUGCCUGGAACCAGACCGAUCUCUAUCCCUCCCUACAGGAUGGCACCAGCAGAAUUGAAAGAGUUAAAAGAACAGUUGCAAGAGCUGGUAGAUAGGGGAUUCAUCCGAUCGAGUACCUCACCUUGGGGUGCUCCAGUGCUAUUUGUGAAAAAGAAAGAUGGAUCCCUUAGACUUUGUAUCGACUACAGACAGUUGAACAAGGUCACUACCAAGAAUAAGUACCCGUUGCCAAGGAUCGACGAUCUAUUUGACCAGCUAGCCGAAGCAGUUUGUUUCUCCAAAAUAGAUCUGAGAUCGGGGUACCAUCAGUUAAGAAUAAGAGAAGAGGAUGUGCCGAAGACAGCCUUAAGGACCAUAUAUGGGCAUUAUGAGUUCCUUGUGAUGCCGUUCGGGUUAACCAAUGCCCCUGCAGCAUUCAUGGAUCUCAUGAACAGAGUGUUUAGUCAAUACCUGGAUCACUUUGUUAUUGUCUUCAUAGAUGAUAUCUUAGUGUAUUCCAGGAAUGCAGAGGAGCAUGCCCAUCAUCUGAGGUUGGUUUUGCAGACCUUGAGGGAACAUGGCUUGUAUGCCAAGUUCUCCAAGUGUGAGUUCUGGCUGAGGAGCAUUUCAUUCUUGGGGCAUGUGGUGUCAGAAAAUGGAAUCGAGGUAGACCCCAAGAAAGUGGAAGCUAUAGCGAACUGGCCUAGACCCACUACAGUGACAGAGAUCAAGAGCUUCUUGGGUUUAGCAGGUUACUACAGGAGGUUCGUUCAGGACUUCUCUAAGAUUGCAGCUCCCAUGACCAGACUGACUAAGAAGAACUAGAGGUUUGCGUGGACCGACCAGUGUGAGGAGAGCUUUGAGGAGCUAAAGAAGAGGUUGACUUCAGCACCAGUGUUAGCUCUGCCAUCUAGUGAUGAAGACUUCUCAGUCUAUUGUGAUGCGUCCCGUGUGGGACUGGGUUGUGUGCUAAUGCAGAAUGAAAGGGUGAUUGCUUAUGCUUCUAGGCAGCUAAAGAAGCACGAGUUGAAUUACCCUAAACAUGACCUAGAGAUGGCAGUGGUGAUCUUUGCACUCAAGAUGUGGAGGCACUACCUUUAUGGGGUUAAAUGUGAGAUCUUCACAGAUCAUAAAAGCCUACAGUACAUCCUGAGUCAGAGAGAUUUGAAUUUGAGGCAGAGAAGAUGGGUAGAACUGCUCAGUGACUAUGAUUGCAAGAUCCAGUACCAUCCGGGUAAGGCGAAUGUUGUGGCAGACGCCUUAAGCCGGAAAUCACUUGGCAGUUUGUCCCAUAUUUCAGCAGAGAGGAGGCCAGUAGUAAGGGAGUUCUUCGAGCUCAUGAAUGAAGGUCUACAGUUGGAGUUGUCUGGUACAGGUGCUUUAGUUGCCCAGAUGAGAGUGGCACCCGUGUUUCUGGAACAGGUGGCUCAGAAACAGCAUGAGGACCCAGAGUUAGUGAAGAUUGCCAGGACUGUUCAGUCAGGCAAAGAUAGUGAGUUUAGAUUUGACAAUAAGGGGAUCAUCCACUAUGGGAGCAGAUUGUGUGUACCAGAUGACAUAGGGCUAAAGGGAGACAUUAUGAGAGAGGCUCAUAAUGCCAGGUACAGUGUUCACCCUGGAGCCACCAAGAUGUAUCAAGAUAUGAAGAAAGUGUAUUGGUGGCCAGCUAUGAAGAAAGAAGUGGCACAGUUUGUGUCAGCCUGCGAAGUGUGUCAGAGGGUGAAGCUGGAACAUCAGAAGCUGGCUGGAAUGCUUAACCCACUACCUAUUCCAGAGUGGAAAUGGGAGAAUAUAGUUAUGGAUUUCGUGGUGGGGCUACCGGCGGCGUCCAACAGAUUGGACUCCAUAUGGGUGAUUGUGGACAGACUCACCAAAUUUGCUCACUUCAUCCCUGUCAGGAGUGGCUAUUCUGUGGACAAGUUAGCGCAGGUGUAUGUUGAUAAGGUUGUCAGGUUGCAUGGGGUUCCUGUCUCAAUAGUGUCUGAUAGAGGGCCCCAGUUCACCUCCAGGUUUUGGCGGAGUCUGCAGAACGCUAUGGGUACCAGGUUGGAUUUUAGCACUGCUUUCCAUCCACAAACGGACGGACAAUCAGAGAGGACCAUCCAGACAAUAGAGGAUAUGCUCAGAAUGUAUGUGUUGGAUUUUGGCGGUUCUUGGAGGCAGCAUCUACCUUUAAUGGAGUUUGCCUACAAUAACAGCCAUCAUGCCAGCAUAGGGAUGGCCCCAUAUGAAGCUUUCUAUGGAAGGAAGUGCAGGUCGCCUGUCUGUUGGGAAGAAGUAGGAGAAAAGGCCUUGGCAGGGCCUGAGCUAGUAGAGAUCACCAGCAGAGUGGUGCCCAUAAUCAGAGAAAGGAUCAAGACUGCUGCAAGCAGACAGAAGAGUUGUGCAGAUAUCCGCAGAAGGCAAGUGGAGUUUCAGGAGGGAGAUUUGGUAUUGCUCAAGGUGUCUCCAAUGAAAGGGGUGAUUCAGUUUGGGAAGAAAGGUAAGCUAGCUCCACGGUACAUUGGACCCUUUGAAGUCUUGCAAAAGAUUGGGAAUGUAUCGUACAAGCUGGACUUGCCUGCUUCAAUGGAGAGAAUCCAUCCGGUUUUCCAUGUUUCCAUAUUAAGAAAGUUCGUGUCAGAUCCGGGCAAGGUUCUUAGUGAGCCUGAUGUGGAGAUCCAAGGGGAUCUCACCUAUGUUGAGCAGCCAGUACGGAUCCUAGACACCCAGAUCAGAAAGCUAAGAAACAAGGAAAUCCCGAUGGUGAAAGUCCUUUGGAAUCACCACAACAUCGAAGAGUGUACUUAGGAGACACGGGAGUCUAUGCUCCGGUAAUAUCCUAAUCUCUUCUAAGGUGAGUUUUAUAUGCUUUGUAUGAAUGUUUAUGUUUUAUGCUAUGCAUGUGUUGUUUGGUGAACAUUCAGGGACGAAUGUUCUUAAGGGGGGAAGAAUGUAAUACCCAGCUAGACUCCGGUAACGGAAUUCCUACCGUCCGGUGGAAUCUCGGAUGUCGAAAACCUCUAGAAGGGAAAAAUCAUGUUUUUAUAAAAUAGUUUAAUGUAUUUUAUGUUUUAAGUGAAAAGGAAAUUGAGUUUUGUAUGAAAAAGACCAAGGAGGCAUUUCCAGGUUCGGCCGCCGAACCUCAAGUUCGACCGCCGAAUGUGGGAUGGUUUAGGGGGGCAUGUUAGGCUUCCGAAGGUCUCAAAAGGUUCGGCCGCCGAACCUCAUGUUCGGCCGCCGAACUUGCAUGAGAUGUGGGGGCACGUUCGGCUGCCGAAAGGUGGUCUGCCAGCCCUAUAUAAAGAGCUCCAUGGCCGAAACGGGCGAGUUUUCUCCCCAUUUUCGGCCACAGUGAGUUCAUGCUCUCCUUUGGUUCGUUUUUUAUGUUUUUCCUACGAUCUCUCACGUUUUAACAAGCUUUAUAUUGAUUUGAAGAGAUUUGAGCAAAAAGAGCAAGUUUGGAAGCUUGGAGACCAAAGAGUGGAUUUCUCCCUACCUCCAAGCUAGGAUCGUCUUUCCUCUCGAUCUUCAAGAGGUGAGCUUAGAUCCAACCUUUCUUGCAUGUUUUAAACUAGUUUUUAUGAAGAUCUAUGGGGUAGAAAUGCAUGAUAGGUUAUUGUUAUGUUUAUGGGUGUAUGUAUGUUUAUGAACAAUGUGGGUUGUUUGAUGUGUUGUAGAUGGGGUUUAGGAUAGUUUGAAGCCCCUAGGAGCUUGUAUGCUUGUGGAUGCAUGUUGUAGAAUAGGAAAAUGCAUGAUUGAAUGUGUUGGGAGGCGUUUAUGCAUGUUGAGCUGAGUUUCUGCCCUUCUGGGAGAAACCAGGUUCGGCAGCCGAAGGUUCUUUCGGCACCCGAACCUGCCUGUGGUAGCAUGAAUCGGCUGCCGAACCCUGCCCCCGAAAGAUGACUUUCGGCUCUGAAAGGGACUUUCGGCUCUGAAAGGGACUUUCGGCCGCCGAAGGUGCCGCCGAACAUGCAUGAGUUUCGUCUCUGGAGGGAACCUUCGGCCGCCGAAAGUGCCGCCGAAGGUGCAUGAGUUUUGGCUCUGGAGGGCCUUUCGGCCGCCGAACCUACCGCUGAAAGUGCCCUGUUCAGCCCUCCUUUGCAUGUUUUCUAUGGAUGUUUUAAGGUGUUUUAGGGGAUUUUUGGGGAGUAUUUUCAGAGUUAUGUUCAUAGAUGUUUGGUCCCUCAUUUGAGUCCACCUGUGUAGGUUUGGACCCGAGGAACCGAGGACCCCAGCAGUGAGUCAGCUACCCCAGUGUCUGGUCUGAGCUAACCAGAGGUGAGUGGAAUAACUCUUUACGUUUUAAAAUAAAUAAUAAAUGAUUCAGCAUGAUUCAUGCAUCACGAAUGCCAUGUGAUAUAAUAGGUUGUUGCAUUAGAAUCCACGAAUAUGUUGCACUGCAUUCUUUAUUAUGGAUGUGGGUGAAUGCUGUAUGAUGUAAAUAGUCCCUGAGGAAAGACCAGGACCCCAUUCUACGGCCUGGCAUGAUAUGGAAUGCGAAGACCAGGUGACAGAUGAGGCCCUGGGUAAAUGGUAAGUAAUGUUAUGAUAUGACAGGAAGACCAGGACCCCAUUCUACGGCCUGGCACGGAUAUGAUGCUGGGACUAAUUGGUGACAGGUUCACCCUUGAUGUGAAUUGUCUGUGAUGUGACUCAUUUCAUGAAAGCAUGAAUGUUAAUAUAUGUUUUUACUAUUCUGCUCACUGGGCUCUAGUAGCUCACCCCUCUCCCUUAACCCCCAGGUUUGCAGGUACAGGGUAGACCAGGAGGUCAGCAAGAGUAAUGAAGUCAUGGUCAUGUAAUAGCUAGAGUGGACAUGAUAAAUGUUGUUAUGUUAUGUUGAGUACAGUCAUGUAAAAGUAUGAUAUAGAAUGUCAUGUAAUAAUGCUUAUGAAAGUUUAUAGUUGUGCUUGACCAUAGUAUUAUGUUAAUCCCUUCUAAUACAUGAUCUUAAUGUUUAAUGAUGCUUAUAUGAACCAAACUCAAUACAUGUUAUGUCACCCCUUUGGGGCAAUGAUGAGACUCCACAGAGAAGUUAAUGUUUAUGUAUAGUGCAUGCACAGGUUGAGUUUGGUGAAUGAAUGAAUGUAAAGAAAAGUUUAAAUUUUUUAUGUUUGUUGUUGAUCAUGUAUGGGAUUAAACAUGUUUACAGGAUGAUGUUAGGCUUGCUACGGGUCCCGGCGGCCUUAUGCCGACCUGGAUCCUAGCGCCGGUAGCGGUCCGGAUUUUCGGGUCGUUACAGAAGCACACAUAAAAACACAAAACACUAACCUUAGAAGAGAUAAGGGUAUUGCUGGAGCAUAGACUCCUGUGUCUCCCAGGUACAUUCUUCUAUGUUGUGGUGAUUCCAAAGGACUUUCACCAUCGGGAUUUCCUUGUUCCUCAGCUUUCUGAUCUGCAUGUCCAGGAACCGCACCAGCUGCUCAACAUAGGUGAGAUAUCCUAGAAUCUCUACAUCAGGCUCAUUAAGAACCUUGCCCGGAUCUGACAUGAACUUCCGUAACAUGGAAACAUGGAAAACCGGAUGGAUUCUCUCCAUUGAAGCAGGCAAAUCCAGCUUGUACGAUACACUCCCAAUCUUCUGCAAGAUUUCAAAGGGUCCGAUGUACUGUGGAGCUAGUUUACCUUUCUUUUCAAAACGGAUCACCCCUUUCAUAGGAGACACAUUGAGCAACACCAAAUCUCCCUCCUGAAACUCUACAAGCUUCCUGCGGACAUCUGCAUAGCUUUUCUACCGACUCAUAGUAGUCUUGAUCCUUUCUCUGAUAAUGGGCACUACUCUGCUGGUGAUCUCUACUAGCUCAGGCCCUGCUAAGGCCCUUUCUCCAACUUCUUCCCAGUAGGUAGGUGACCUGCACUUCCUCCCAUACAAAGCUUCAUAUGGAGCCAUCCUUAUGCUAGCAUGAUAGCUGUUAUUGUAGGCAAACUCCACCAAAGGUAGAUGCUGCCUCCAAGAACCGCCAAAAUCUAGCACACACAUUCUGAGCAUAUCUUCAAUUGUCUGGAUGGUCCUCUCAGAUUGUCCGUUAGUCUGUGGAUGGAAAGCCGUGCUAAAAUCCAGCCUAGUACCUAUAGCAUUCUGUAGACUCCGCCAAAACCUGGAGGUGAACUGGGGUCCCCUAUCUGACACUAUUGAAACGGGAGCCCCAUGCAACCUGACCACUUCUUCAACAUAUACCUGCGCCAACGUGUCCACAGAAUAGCCACUCCUGAUAGGGAUGAAGUGAGCCGAUUUGGUCAGUCUGUCCACAAUCACCCAUAUGGAGUCCAACCUGUUGGACAUUGCCGGUAACCCCACCACAAAAUCCAUAGCUAUAUUCUCCCAUUUCCACUCUGGAAUCGAUAGUGGGUUAAGCAUUCCAGCCGGCUUCUGAUGUUCCAGCUUCACCCUCUGACAUACCUCGCAGGCGGACAUGAACUGUGCCACUUCUCUUUUCAUAGCUAGCCACCAAUAAACUUUCUUUAGAUCUUGAUACAUUUUGGUGGCUCUAGGGUGAACGUUGUAUCUGGCAUUAUGAGCUUCCCUCAUAAUAUCUCCCUUCAGACUCAUGUUAUCUGGUACACAUAACCUGUUCCCAUAGCGGAGGAUCCCUUUGCUAUCAAAUCUGAACUCUUCAUUCUUGCCUGACUGAACAGUCCUGGCAAUUUUCACUAACUCUGGGUCCUCAUGCUGCUUCUGAGCCACUUGCUCUAGAAACACGGGUGUCACUCUCAUCUGAGCUAUCAAAGCACCUGUACCAGACAACUCCAACUAUAGCCCUUCAUUAAUGAGCUUAUAAAACUCCUUCACCACCGGUCUUCUCUCUGCUGUAAUAUGGGAUAGACUGCCAAGUGAUUUCCAGCUUAAGGCUUUUGCCACAACAUUUGCCUUACCCGGAUGGUACUGAAUUUUGCAAUCAUAGUCACUAAGCAGUUCUACCCAUCUUCUCUGCCUCAAAUUCAACUCCCUCUGACUCAAGAUGUACUGCAAGCUCUUAUGAUCUGUGAAGAUCUCACAUUUAACCCCAUAAAGGUAAUGCCUCCACAUCUUGAGUGCGAAGAUCACAGCUGCCAUUUCUAGAUCGUGUGUAGGAUAAUUCAACUCAUGCUUCUUCAACUGCCUAGAAGCAUAAGCAAUUACCCUCUCAUUUUGCAUCAACACACAACCUAGUCCCACACGGGAUGCAUCACAAAACACUGUGAAGUCUUCAUUACUGGUAGGUAGAGCUAACACCGGUGCUGACGUCAACCUUUUCUUCAGCUCUUCAAAGCUUUCCUCACACUGCUCAGACCACACAAACCUCUGGUUCUUCUUGGUCAGUCUGGUAAUAGGAGCGGCAAUUUUGGAGAAGUCCUGAACGAACCUCCUAUAGUAACCUGCCAAACCCAGAAAGCUCUUAAUCUCUGUGACUGUAGUGGGUCUAGGCCAGUUAGCUACAGCUUCCACCUUCUUGGGGUCCACUUCAAUUCCCUGUUCUGACACAACAUGCCCCAAGAAUGAGAUGCUCCUUAACCAGAACUCACACUUUGAGAACUUGGCAUACAAGCCAUGCUCCCUCAGGGUUUGCAAAAUUAUCCUCAAAUGAUGGGCAUGCUCCUCUGCGUUUCUGGAAUACACUAAAAUAUCAUCAAUGAAGACAAUAACAAAGUGAUCUAGAUACUGACUGAAAACUCUGUUCAUAAGGUCCAUGAAUGCUGCAGGGGCAUUGGUUAGCCCAAACGGCAUUACUAGGAACUCAUAAUGCCCAUAUCUGGUCCUGAAUGCCGUCUUCGGCACAUCUUCUUCUCUGAUUCUCAGCUGGUGGUACCUGGAUCUCAGAUCUAUUUUGGAGAAACAACCUGCUCCUGCUAGCUGGUCAAACAGAUCGUCGAUCCUGGGUAGAGGAUACUUAUUCUUGGUAGUGACUUUGUUCAACUGCCUGUAGUCGAUACAAAGUCUCAAGGAUCCAUCCUUCUUCUUUACAAACAGCACUGGAGUACCCCAAGGUAAGGUACUCGGUCGGAUGAAACCCUUGUCUAUCAACUCUUGCAACUGUUCCUUUAGCUUCUUCAACUCUGCUGGUGCCAUCCUGUAGGGAGGGAUAGAGAUUGGUCUGGUUCCACGCAUCAAUUCUAUUUCAAACUCUAUCUCCCUAGCAGGUGGUAGUCCUGGAAGCUCGUUUGGGAAGACAUCAGGAAACUCUCUGACCACGGGCAUUGAGGCGGGCUCCCUGACCUGACUAUCCAGCUCUCUCACAUGAGCUAGAAACUCCUGACAACCUCUCCUGAGCAACCUACGAGCCUGUAGGGCUGAUAUCAGACCUCUAGGCAUACCCCUCCUGUCUCCUCUGAAGACAACUUCUGACCCAUCCUGAUCUCUGAACCUGACUACCUUGUCUCAGCAGUCAAAGGUAGCACCAUGAGUAGAUAGCCAGUCCAUCCCUAGAAUGACAUCAAAAUCCGUCAAAUCUAGAACCACAAGGUCGGCUGGAAGGCAUCUACCCUCAACAAUUACUGGACUGAACCGGCAGACUGACUCUGCCACUGAUGGGUCACACUUGGGUCCACUGAUCCAGAGGGGACACUCUAACCCAGAGACAAUCAAAUCCAACCUCUCUACGGCUCUCGGAGCAAUAAAAGAAUGAGGUGCACCAGGGUCCAUUAAAGCAUACACAUCUGAACAACCAAUGAUGAGAUUACCUGACACCACGGUGUUGGAUGUGUUUGCCUCCUGUUGUGUCAUAGUGAAGAUCCGUGCUGGAGCUGAUGGACCUUCACCCCGGGAACCUGCUGAAGAAGAGGCUACCCCUCUCCCUCCGCCUCUGCCACUGCCCUAUGUCACGGCUGGAGCUACUGGCUGAGCCACACUACCAGAAGCCGUCUGCUGGGAUGGUGCCAUAAAAGGUGCCCUAGGACACUCCCGAGCCAUGUGUCCCUCCUGCCCACACCUGAAGCAAGCUAUUGUCCCAAACCGGCAUACUCCCCUGUGUGGCUUACCACACCUCAAGCACUCUGAACCAUCUGAACCUGAGCUUGAGCCACCACCUAAACCCAGACCUGUCUUCAAACGAUUCCAGAACUUAUUCUUCUUUGGCUUUUUAGUGGUACUGCCCCACUUUUUACUGCCUGAAGCUGCCGCACUCAGAGAAGAGGGAUCUAACUUUCUCCCGCCUGGGGUCUUGGAACCCGAAGACUGUGCCACUGACUGCUUAACUGUCCCCUGAAUGAUGGCACUAGCCUCCAUCUUCCAUGCUGCAUCCACUAUGGUGUGGAAGUCCUCUCUCUCUAUUGCUAAAAUUAGGGAGGAAUACCUGGGAUGGUGUAACAUCCUCAAAUCCAUAGCUAGAGUAGUGCCAUCACAAGGUAGGGUUAGGCUUUUUUUACUACUAGAGUAAGUGGCAUUAAGGGAGGUGCUAACUUAACUCUAAACUGCUAAUAAUUGAAUCAUAGAAAACUCAAAUAAAGAAAUAGACAUAUCCAGAUAUAAAGUAGCCAGUGUGAUUAGUGAGUCGGGAAUGAGUCACUUUCGGGAGGUGCUUAGGGUUUCCCGGCGUGCUUGCUUGAGGUGCUUGUUUAAAUCCGUCAUGCUUGCUUAAGUGAAAAGGACUUCUAAAAGGGUAAAUUUAUAGUUUAGUAGGUCAAUCUAUGAUUGUUGAAAGUUUAAAAACUAAAUUGAAACAUGGUAAAGAGUUUAGUAGGUUAAAAUGUAAAUAUGGAAAGUUAAAACAUAAAAUUAAGUUUAUUUCCAUGUGUCACCUCACUAAGGAAAGGAGAAAUGAUAAAGCAAAAUGAAAAAGGGAUUAUCUUCUCCACCAUUUCACUUUGCCGUAGCUCCCACCAUUGAAAACCAAAACUUUAUUUUGUCUUCCUUCCACCAAAGCCAAGCCAAAUCUCACCCAAUCAACUUCUUGCUUUAAUUAAAAUUCAUCUUAAGACCAAGAGCUAAAGGAACAGCCAUAUAUUGAAGGGAUUGAAGAAGAAAAGUUUAGGGUUCCAUAUGCACCAAGUUUGAAAAUUAAAGGUAAGCUUAGAAAAGUGUAGGAAAUAACAUCUUCUCAUUUCUUCAUGCAUGAAUUUGAAUUAUAAAUCUUUAAUUUACAACUUAUUCAAUCCUUUCCUAAGACAUAAAUUGACCUAGGUGAAGGAACAUCAAAGGGAAAGGAGAUAGCUAGAGAAUAGAAGAGGAAAAGAAAGAGGAAGUCAAAAAAGGUUUGGUGUUUGAAUGAUUUUCUGUUUUCCUUGAAUUUUAUCAUUGAUAUAUGAAGUUGGGGAUUGAUUUUACUUGCUGGAAAUGUUGCUUUGAUUGUAUAAAUGUGUCAUAUAAAUGUUAAAGUGGUGUUUGAAAGGCUUAGAGUAAAGAAAUUUAACAUGAGAGCUAAAAGUGCAAACCUGGCAGAAUAGGUUGUAACAGGGUAGCUUGUAUUGACAACGUCAUAACUUAUUGUAUAUUUAUUGAAAUUAAGCCUAAGAUAUAUCAAAUGAAAGCUGAGACAAAGAUCUAAAACUUUUAUGAAUUGACCAAAUUCUGAAUCUGUAGGUAAGAUGAUAAAAAUUUCAAGUGAACCUAAACUGGAUACAGAGUUAGUGCAUUCGGAAUAGUGUGUAUUGAUUGUACCAUAAUUAAUUAUGUACUCAGUGAAAUUUAUUAAAACAAGUGCCAAAUGAAUCUUAAGAAAUAUACCUAAAACUUUGUAGAAGACACUUAAGCUUGAAUUUGUAUGAAAAUGCAUGAAUCUGAUAUGUUUUGUGAUACUAUAAACAGGUACCAAUACUGGACUGUUUAAUAUCUUAUUGAGCAGCUUGUAAAGAAAAAUUCAUAACUUAAGUUAGAGUAUUCAUAAUUGCAUGAACUAUACCUUGUUGGAAAGAUAAGACAUAAAUGUACAUUUAUUAUGAGAAAUCGAAGUCAAAUUGUAACUCUAAGCUACUUGAAAAGUUUAUGCAAUAUAAGGCAGAAUGCAGUUUUCUCAAAUUGGAAGGCAGAAUGCAGUUUUCUCAAAUUGGAAUGCUAUGUUGACAAAGUUUUGCACCAUUUGCCAUGAAUUUCUCAUCUUAUUGACUUUGACAUAUGAUAUGUGUAUUUUGGAAAUGAAUUCAAAUAGCUUCAAAUGAUGUGCAUUUACAUUGAAUUAAUGAUACUUGGCCCUGGUAAACGUAAUAGGAGUCAAGGUUAGCUUAAGGGUAUGGCAUGCCAUAUAAACAUACAGAGUUCGCAGUACUGCUACCGAUACAUGAUCUAUAUUUGAGGUUACAUAUCAGGUACCUCAUAAGCAUGGCCACAAAGCCCUGCUAUCACAAUUUUGGCCUCUGAGCCUACCGUUCGGCACCCUGUGCCUACCAUUAUAAUUCCUUAUCUACCUAGUCGACCCUACUAUGUGGUUAUAAGGGCUAAGGACCUAAUUAAGGUUGAUACUUGUUUUGUGAAAUUAUCAGUGAAUGUUAAUAACUUUUGAUUAGCUUGAAAUUGUUUACUUGAUUAUCUGUAUAAGUGAACUUGUUUGCUUUAUUUUGUUAUUUGUUUUCUAUCACCCACUGAGCAUUAGCUCAGCGUGUUGGUUCUUACCUCACGCAAGUUGUAGAUAACGUAGAUACGCGGAGUUCAUCAGAUGUCUACAUCAGAUAUCAAAGCCAUUAUCAUAGCUGGUUGUUUUGAGUCUCUGAGUCAUAGUACAAUUAUAUUUUGGCAUGUAUAUAUUUAAUAGAGUGAGUUGUAAAGAUUAUGUAAAUCAAGGAAUAGUAAGAUAUCAAAUGACAGUUGUUAGUGUAAUUAUAAGUGUGAUUUUCAUAUGUAUUACAGGUUAAAGUGCUUAUGAAAUAGAGGAAAUUCUGCCAAAAUAAAUUUAGGUUUAAAAUCUCACAGUUACUUUAUUCACCUUAUAAAAAUUGCUUGGACUACCUAAAACUUGGUAUUUACAGAUAAAGGAAAUUGUUUAGUCUGGAUAUAUCAAAAGAGGCAUAGUUUGUGAUAUUCCUUGCUCUGUCUACACUUUGAUAGGGUAAGGGGUGUUACAGAUGGAGCCUCAUGGUAUACCUUCUAGCCUUCUUCUGAUCUAUAUCAUAAGCUCGGCUUACAUAUUGCAGCAACUCCAGAAACUUGUCUGUGUGUUCAUCUACACUCAUCUCCUCUGUCUGUCUUAACUGUUCAAACUCAACCACCUUUAGCUCCCUUGAACUGUCAGGGAAAGCCCAUCCUGCAAAUUCAUUAGCAAACUGCUCCCAGGAUAAGCUCCCCAACCUCGGGUCCACAUAGUUUUUGAACCAUUCUUUUGCUUUCUUUCACUUCAAAGUGAACCCCGCCAUCUGAAUGGCUCUACUAUCAUCUGCCCCCAGCUCAUCUGUUAUCAUUUUUACCGUUUUAAGGUACUCAAACGGAUCAUCUCCCGUCUUGAACUUGGGAGCAUCCAGCUUCAAGUAAUCGGUCAUCUUUACCUUGCUCCCCACAGAUGAGCUAGGCUUGGGUGUUUGGAUUUCAGGGGCUACAGGUUCUGCUGGUGGUGGAGGAGGUGCAGCAUUCCCUGGGUUAGAGUUUGCUGUAUUUGGAUAGAAAGGUGAGGGUGGAUACAUAGGGUACUGGGGAUAUGGUGGGUAAAAAGGAGGGUAAGGUAUGUAGGAGGGAUAUGGGUUAAAGCUGGAGUAAUCCGAUGUACCCCCCAUUGGAUACCCUGGGCCUUGAGGAAAGGGUUGAUACUGGGGUGGAUAAUCGAACCCCGAGGCCUGAGCGGCUCCUUGAGAUUCUCCCAUGCCCUCUUCCGACAUGCUCAUGUCCAAGCUACCAUCUCUUCUCUGCUCUUCCUCCUUUGAUCCCCUUACAUCAGCUGACAUACCACCCUGAACUGUUCCCCUUCUGCUUACAUCAAAAGACCUUCUAGGGUCCCUUGACAUUCCCUCUCUACUUGAUCUGUAUGACAUUGCCCUUGGCAAAGCAGGGAGACGGGCAUCCAUGCCCUCAUUCUCUGGUGGAACUCCAGUCAAUCGUGUAGAUUGACGAGUGCCUCGCAUCUUACUUCUGAAAAACAAUACAAAACACAAACAUUAACAUCAUAAGGUUCAUGUAGAAGCACAUGAACCCGCACCACAUACAUCACAUAUCAUUAAUGCACAUGCAUAUCAUCAUGGCAUUUCACAUCAUUAUCAAGACAGGACUCUAUAUCCUAUCCUAGUGGACAUGAUUUUUCCUAUUGUGCUUGCCCUUCUAUGAUAUCUAUGAACCCGACACUCUCUAGGUCCGACCAUAUGAACCCAGGGCUCUGAUACCAAUCUAUAACGACUCAAAAAUUGGACCGCUACCGGCGCUAGGAUCCAGGUCGACUUAAGGUCGCCGGGACCCGUAGCAAGCCUACAAACAUCCUGUACAUCUGAUACAAUCCCAUACAUGAUCAUACUUUGGCAUAAAAACUUAAACUUUUUCAUACACCUAGCUUGACCUGUGCAUGCACUAUAACUGAAAACAUACAAGCCCCAUACUAGAGCCCUCAUCAAAUGCUCUAGUUGGGUCAACACAUCAUAUGUCAAGCCUGGUUCAACAUAACUCAGCAUUAAAACAUUUCAUAUAGAUCAUGUACAAAAGGGAUUAACCAUACAUUAGGGCCAAGCACAAUUCUAAUCCUCAUUAUAUCACUGUAUAAUACUUUACAUUACAUUACUUUAUUUUACAUACUAUGUCCACUACUAAUCUAUUACAUAACCAUAACUUUUACCCUUGACGACCUCCCGGUCUAUCCUGAACCUGCAAACCUGGGGGUUAGGGAAAAAGGGUGAGCUACAAGAGCCCAGUGAGCAGAACAAUAAAAAUAGUUUAUAAACAUAUGCCAUCAUGAAAUGCAUCACAUCACAAAUAAUUUACGUCAUGGAUGGAUUUGUCACCAAUAACCCUCUACAUAGUACAAUUGUGCCAGGGGCGUAGAAUGGGCCUCAUUGGUCUUUCUCUUAACAUCACAUAACAUAACAUAUCCAAUGUGCCAGGGGCGUAGAAUGGACCUCACUGGUCUUUCUCUCACAUCGUGCUAGGGGCGUAGAAUGGGCCUCACUGGACUUCCAUACCGUAUCAUAACAUGCCAUAUCGAGGGCUAGUGGAUCAUCCAAUAUCCAUCCACAUCAACAUCAUAUUAUGCAAUGCAUCAUAUUCGUGAAUUCUAAUGCAAAACAACCUAAUACAUAUCAUGGCAUUCGUGAUGCAUGGAUCAUGCUAAAAAUAUUUCAUUGCGUUGAAAAUAAAAGAAGUUCUGUUCUACUCACCUCUGGCUGACUCUGGACUAACUCUGAAGCAGCACUGCUAGUCUCCUCGGUUCCUCGGGUCCGAUCCUACACAGGUGGACUCAAAUGAGGGACCAAACAAACUCUAAACAUCUCCCCAAAAACCCCCUAAAACAUUCAAAGAAAACAUGCAAAGGAAGGCUGAACAGGGCACUUUCGGCGGUAGGUUCGGCGGCCGAAAGUCCCUCCAGAGCCGAAAGUCAGGCACUUUCGGGGGCAGGGUUCGGCGACCGAAAGUCCUUCCAGAGCCGAAAGUCACCCACUUUCGGGGGCGGUUCGGUGGCUGAAACUCCCCUCUAGAGCCGAAAGUCCAAACUUUCGGGGGCGAGUUUAGGUGGCCAAACUGCCUCCACAGGCAGGUUCGGCGGCCGAACAUGGCUUCGGCAGCCGAAAAUGGGUUCUCCAAAAUGGCAGAACCCGAUUCCGCCUCAUGCAUUCAGUCACCCAAAACUUCACAACAUGCAUUUAACCAUUCUAAAACAUGCAUAAACACUUAUUCAAGCAUAUAGGGGCAUAAAACUAGCUUAAACCCCAAUAAGCAUCACAUUAAGCAUACAUUUAACAUAAAGGGUACAUAAACCCUAACAUUAAACAACUAGCCUAAACAUGCAUUAAAACCCCUUAACCCUUCAUAAAACUUACUUAGAACAUAAAAGAAGAUAGGAUCUACACUUACCUCUUGAAGAUCGAGAGGAGAGGUGAUCCAAACUUGGAGAUUGGGAGAAAUCGAGCUCCGGGGGUCUCCAAGCCUCAAAACUUUAAUCCUAGCUCAAAAAUCUUCAAAACAAUGUAAAACUCAUCAAAAACUUGAAAGGAUUGAAGGAAAACAACAAAUCGACCAUAGAAGGGUGAAAUCUCACCUAUGCCCGAAAAUAGAGAGAGAAAACUCGCUCAUUUUCGGACAAGGGGCCUUUUAUAGGUGGCUGGCCAGACCACCUUCGGGAGCCAAAGGUGCUUCCGCAAACUCUCCAUGUUCGGCGGCCGAACCUGAGGUUCGGCGGCCGAACCUGGGUUUUCUUCCUUGUUCUUUUCUUUCAAAACUCAUUUUCUUUCUUUAUUAAAACCAUAAAAACACAUGAAAACACUUUAGAAAACCAUAAUUUACCCUUCUAGAGGGUUUCGACAUCCGAGAUUCUGCCGAAAAGUGAGAAUUCCGAUGCCAGAAUCUAGCCGGAUAUUACAACUCUUCCCUGUCUUUUCUUGCAUUCCUCAGCAUCUCAUCCCUAAUAAGUCUUUCAAUUUCAUCUUUGAGUUGCCUACAUUCUUCCAUGGUGUGUCCAUGGUUCUCGUAGAAGUAGAAAUAAUUGGUCUUAUCCCGCUUGCUUGUCUUGUCCGGGUUAAGUUUGGCAAGUAAUUUGAUUUUUUUUUCCUGAUCCACAUGAGGAUAUGUAUUCGUGAGUCAUUCAAUGGAGUAUAAUUUUUAUCUUACCUCGAUCGUCCCUGUCUCGAGACACUAAAUAGCUUCUUUUUCCAUUUUCAUUACUUUGCCUAUAUGAUUUUUGUGUCUUAUUCAAACUUUCUUUCUUUCUUGUCCUUUCACAAAGCCUGCACUUCAUCAUCCAAGUAUAUGUAUUUUUGAAUUUUAUUCAUCAGCUGUUGAUAAGUGGCUGCUAGGUUUUUAUUAGAGAAUUCAUGAACUUUGUAUUCCUGGUUCCCUUUUUUAGCGCUUCGCAAGAUAUUUCAUGGUUUAAAUCAUCCACCUAUAUGGCUUCGACAUUGAAUCUAAAAUAAAACUCUUCAGGGACUCACCCUCAUAGAGGUCCGAGGAUAUUUUCUCUGAAGGGAUGUAUGUAAUAAAUUUAGAUUUAAAAGCUAUAGCAAGUUGAGUAAAGUUAUUAAUAAAACCUGUAUUCAGAUGCUAGUAUUAUUUCUGGGCUAGACCUAUUAAAGUAGAUGAAGAGACUCUAUACAAGAUAAAAUCAUUGAUGUCUUACAACUGCAUUGUGGUCCUAAAGAUUGUCAGGUGGCUCCUCAUAUAAGUGAUCCUAUCAUACUUGUCUAGGCUUGGCAAUUUGAACUUAUUGGGAAACAUUUUCACCAAAAUUUCAUCAAACAAAGGCAAGGCAUCUCCAAACUCAAAAUCAUCUUUCUGCUCCUUUUGAAACCUCUAAAAGGCAUGUACUAACUUCCAAUCUACACUUCUCAGGGCUUCGUUUGAGAAUUCUUCGUUCUCUACAUUUUCCUUUUCCUUGGAGUUUGCAUUUUCAAGCCUUGCGACUUGGUGGGAUGCUUCUCCCCUUGUCCAAGGUGUUCCCUGAAAGGCCUUCUCACUUAUCCUGACAAUUUCUUGGGAAGCCUCUUCCCGAGCUUUAUAUUGGUCCAGGGUGGCCUAUAACCUUUUAAUGUAUUGCACAAUCUAUUCAUUGUUCAAGGUGUUAAGAUCCAUCUCAAUUGGCACGGGGGGAGUGUUUUGUCCACUUUCUAAUGGGAUGGGAAUAGUAGUUCCCCUAUUUGCAGUGGAUUUGGUAAUAGCUCGAGGUCUACCAACCAUUGGGGUAAUAAGGAGAAUAAAAGAGUGAAAGGAGUAUUUAGAUAAGCUGAAUUUUCCAAACAAGGAGAACUCUUUGAAUUCUGGCAAUGGAACCAAAUGAUGUAGUCGAAAAUACUCCAUGUGAACUGACAAUCUGCAAAGAAGGAAAUUUGAGGUGGUUGGCACCUAUAAGGCAACCACUUUGAUACUCAAGUCAGUAGAUGCUUUGAAUGUGUACCUUAAACUCUACAUCCUUGUUGCUUUUAUACUGUAGGAAGGGAAGGUUAAUUGGUCGUUUCGUUGAAAAUUCGAAAUGUACUGGCUAGAAGAUAAAGGAUCUCGUAGCUAUAGGAAUUUUGGCAGCUGCAGCAUCAACAGUAAUGAGAUGAGGAGUUAGGCUCUACCUAGUGUGGCUCAAGCCUUAAAGUCAUGGAUGACCGAAAGUUAGAGUCUUGAGAGGCCGAGCCUAUACAUCUUCAGUUAUGAACCUAUCACCACUCAGGAUCUAUUGAGAUAGUGCCAGAGUGUAAACAUUGGGUAAGUACUGAGUCAAGUAGCUAACAAAACUAUUUUUUUCACUUAUUUUUUAAAAAUUUUAUCAUUUGAAUUUUUAUUGGAAGUAUCAGUAAUAAAAGGUGAAUAUUUUUAAUAAGAAAUUUUUUUUUUCUACAUAAAAAUAGAACUAAUUUUUUAAGUCAAGAGUACGGGGGAAUUACCCAUGCUCAAAAGAUAGCUUUCCCCUUAUUGCAAUUGUAUUUAGUUUUAAAACUUGAAUUAGAAAAAAAUUUGUUUUAUUGAUAUUACAAUAUCAUGUGUUUUAUUUUAUUAUACUUAUAUAAUAUAUAAAUAAAGAAUAUUAUUAUAAUAAAUUUAAAACUUUUUAAUAAUUUAUAAUUUAAUUCAGAUAUUUAAAAAUUGAUACAUUUAUGCUCAUUUACCACUAAAUUUUUGAAAGCCAUUAUUAUUCUUCUUGCCAUAUAGUCUGGUGCAAGGGACAACAACAUGGUUUCUUGUAAUAAAUUAGAUAGAAAUGAUGAAAAAUAAUGGAGGUUUGAAGGUAAAGAAGUGUAAAUUUAGAUAUUUUGAGUUAGAUUGUACUAAUUUUUAAAUUUUGAAUUAAUUUGUAAGAUAAUAAAAAUUUUUAGACUUUUUUAUAAAUAAUUUUUUAUUUAUGUAUCAUAUAAAUACAAUAAAAUAAAUCACCUAACAUUGCAAAGUUAACAAAUCUCAUUUCCCCAAUUCACAUUUCAAAUUGGAUAUAUUUAUAAAAAAAUUAUAAUUUUAAAGAAUUUUAUCAAUUUUUAAAGAUCUGAAUUAAAUUACAUAAUAGUGAAAAAAUGGAAUGUUUUUGUAAAUUGGCCUAAUAGAAAAUAUAUUUUAUUAAAUUUCAUUGAUACUAUUGCAACUCGUUGUAUGAUUCCUUUGGCCAAAUGAAAUUUAUAAUAUUUAGUUUAAUUAAAUUUUAUAUUGACAAUAAAAUAUAGUCGAAUUUAUUUUCCUUCACUUUAAGGUAUAUAAAAAAGUGGAUGAAACUUAAGUUAAAAUCUCCCUAUGAAUUUGUAAUAUUAUUCUUUUGUAAAAUGUAAUUUAUGAUUUUCUUAAUAAAGGAGAUGAUGAUGAUGAAAUUUAAAAGAAUUCUAUGCUGCAAUUGCUUUUUUCAAAAUAAACCAUGCUUCAUAAAUCACCUUCCUUGAACGUAUUUACAAAAACCUAUCUGAUUGUACAAAUCGCCAAGGGCAAACAAGUUAUCAAAGGAGGUGGUUAACCUGUGGGUGGUUAAUCUGAGAGGUUCUCUUAGUUUAAAUUGCCUGAGUACAAAUAGGAAUCACUAAUGCUACCAUCAAAAUUUACUUAGAUUCGAUGCACUAUGAACUCAAGACAUAGAUGUGUGAAUUUCAUAUAAUUUUAUAUAUAAAGUGAAGUAGGACCAUUUAGAUUUCAUCAGAAAUUUUAAUUAAUAAUAAUGUUUGGCCAAUAUGAAAUUCAGAAAAAGAAAAGUUAGAAAUCGAGAUUUUUUAUUGAAUUCUCAAAAAUUGAAAAGUGUCUCCAACAGUAAAGAAAAAUGAUUAAUUAUAAUAAUAAAAAAUUCUAAUGCGAAAAAUUACGAAAAAAUUUAAAAAAAUAAUUAAAAUGUAAAAUUGACCCUAUAAAUGAUGAACUUGGGCCUGAAACUUUGUGACGAGAUCUGUGGCCCUCCUCACACUUUUAAAAGUUAUCCUCCUUGAAAUUUUACUUUUCAGAAAGCUAUUGUGGGCCUCCAAUGAACGUCAGUAGUAGAAAUUAAUCCUGAUCCAAGUCUUCCAUAAAAUUUAAGACUAAUUGCUCUGAAUCAUUCACUUACACUUGUAAAGAAUUCGAUAUCAAGUUGUUAUUAGCAUGGUAGUACUGAAAUAGAUUCGGCACAUUAAACAUCUUGGAAAUUUUCAUAUAAUCAGGGGGUCAAGAACAUAGACAUUGCCAUUAAUCUUCUUAAUAAUUCAGAAUGGACCAAUCUUUUUUGGAUCAAGCUUUUUCUAUCCUCCAUCACGUUUUUUGUGCAAAUAUAUCAUAACUUGAUCACCGACAUUAAAGGACUUUAAACGCUUAUACUUAUCAGCUGCAACUUUAUACUUGUCAUUGGCUUCCGUAAGGCAUUGUUGUACCCAUUUGAAAACAUCCACAUGCUGAUUUGCCAAGUUGUUUGCUGCGAUAUUGUUAUGAAAACCUAUAGGAAGGGCAAUAAGAUCAACUGUAUGCACUCGAAUUUUCCUAUACACAACUACAAAGGGUGACAUCUUUGUAGAGUUAUGACCAGAACUGUUGUAAGCAAAUUCUACUAGGGCAAGAGCAAGAUCCCAAGUAGUUUUCUUAUUACUGCAGAUGUAACGCAGAAGAUUGCCAAGAGUGUGGUUCACCACUUUAGUUUGGCCAUUAGUUUGAGGAUGGGCAGCACUUCUGUAUCGAAGGUUAGUCCCGAAACGCUUUUAUAAAGUCACCCAAAAGUCAGCUAAAAACUUCACAUCUCUGUCAGAAGCAAUAAUCUUAAGUAAUAAUCUUAGGAAUGCCAUGUAAACAAACAACCUCCUAGAAAAAUAAUUUUAUAAUAUGAGACACAUUAUUAGUUUUCUUGCGAGAAAUGAAACGCGCUAUUUUAAAGAAUCUGUCAACGACAACAAAAAUAGAAUUAGAUCCACAUUGAAUAUGUGAAAGACUAAGAAUAAAAUUCAUAGAUAAGUCCUCCUAAGGAUAUUCUGGAAUAGGUAAUAGAGUGUAUAAGCUCGUAUUCUGCGAAUGACCUUCUAAAUUUGACAAACUAAGUACUUUUGGACCAUCAACCUGCAUUCUUUUUCAAUUGUGGCUAAUAAAAAUGCUCCUCUAAAUUAGUAAUAGUUUUAUCAUGUCCUAAAUGAUUACUCAAACCUCCUCCAUGGACCUCUCCAAUCAAGUUUUCCUACAAACAAGAACGAGAAAUACAUAAACCGUUAUCCUUAAAAAUAAAUUCAUCAUGUAUCAAAAACCCAUCAGCAGAAUGGUGAGCCUAUACCUUCACCCAUAUAUCAGCAAAAUCAUCAUUUGUAGCAUACAAAUUCUUCAAAAAUUUAAAACCCAUGACCUCCUGACUAACUGUAAUCAAUAAAGCAUCCCUCCUACUCAAAGCGUCUGUUAACUUGUUACUAAGGCCAGCCUUAUAUUUUCCCACAAAAAAGAACAAGGAAUACAUAACUUGUUCUCCUUAAAAAAAAUCACCAUGUAUUAAAAACCCAUUAGCAGACUGGUGAGCCUGGACCUUUACCCAUAUAUCAGCAAAAUCAUCAUUUGCAACAUACAAAUUCUUCAAAAAUUCAAACCUAUGACCUCCUAACUAAUUGUAAUCAAUAAAACAGUCAUCCUACUCAAAGUGUCUGCUAUCUUGUUACUAUGGUCAGUCAUAUAUUUUAUGAUAUAAUGAAAAACUCCAAAAUAAGCUGUCCGUCGAACAUGCAUCUUAUUCACAUGUUUUUUAGUCUUAAAAUGAAUAAAAAAUUGAUGAAUUGUGUGAAUAAUGAACUCCUGCCUAUUAAAUAUUGUUCUCAAGUCUUAAAGGCCCAGAACACUGCAUACAAUUUCUGCUCAUACCUUACAUCAUUCAAUUUCUCACUAAAGAAGGCAACAGACCUACUACACUGCGAUAACACACCACUAAUCUCAACUCCACAAGUAUCACAUUCAAUUCCAAACAGUUUAUCAAAAUUAGGUAGAGCAAGAAUAGGGGUGGAAGUAAGCUUAUCUUUAAUCUGCUCAAAACUUUUGUUGGCAGUUUCAGUCCAAGUAAAUUUUUGCACUUUCUCUUUUUUCAAACAAUCUGUGAUAGAGGCAACGAUAUUAUUGAAAUUUCUGAUAAACAGCCGAUAGAAAGUGGCAAGUCCGUGAAAGCUGCGAGCUUCUGAAAAUUUUUUGGGAAUGAGCCCGUUCAGUAUUGCUUCUCUAUUCUUAUCAUCAACAUGUAUCUUUUCUACACUAACAAUAAAUUCAAAAAACAGAACGUGUUCCAUCAUAUAAAUGCAUUUUUUUAAAAUUAAUAACCGGAUCAUUUUCUUGCAAGAUUAUCAUGAUAUAACAGAAGUGUUGUAAAUAUUCUUAUUCACUGCUCUAAAAAUCAAAAUAUCAUCUAAAUAAAUAACGACGAAUUUGCAUAAGAAAGGACGCAAAAUCUGGUUCAUAAAUCGCAUAAAUAUGCUACGUGCAUUCGUCAAACCAAACGACAUAACUAGCCAGUCAUACAAACCUUAGUUUUUAAAGGUUGUCUUCCAUUCAUCUCCCUCAAUUCAAACUUGAUGAUAGCCACUUUUAAGGUCGAUCUUAGAGAAUACUUUAAACCCUGAUAAUUGAUCCAACAUAUCAUUCAGGCGAGAAAUAGAAAAUCAAUACUGAACCAUAACCUUAUUGAUGGCUCUACUAUCCAUUCACAUUCUCCAAAUUUCAUUUUUCUUUGAAACCAAUAAGGCAGAGACUCGGCAGGGGCUAAUGCUCUCCCAAAUGUGCCCCUUCUUCAAUAAAUUUUCAACCUGUUCUUGAAGAAUUUCGCUUUUCUAUGGGCUCAUCUUGUAAUGAGGCAAAUUCAGUAAUUUGGAUACAGGAAUGAGAUCAAUCAGAUGUUGAAUAUCCCACAAAGGUGGAAGCUUUGAAGACUCCUCUACAGCUCUUUGACGAAUGGUGGUAAAGAUAGUGCAUCCUCCACUUCACCUUCUGCUCUCACUAAUAAAACAAUGUGCCUCCAGAUUCUUCAAUUGUGUUUGAUAGCCUUUGCACUCCCGUAGAGAUAACAACAAUAGUUUUCCCUUCCACUUUAGAAUGUUUCACAGAAUCAAAAGGCAAAAUAGUAAUCUUCUUUUGAUUCCAUAUAAACAUGUAUGAAUUCUCCUUCUUUUUGUGCAAAGCAUCAACAUCAAACUAUCAAGGACGACUUAAUAAAAUUCCACAGCAAUCCAUAUCCACAACAUCAUAAUUAAUAGAUUUAGUGUAAGAUUUACCGCUCGAAAUAUGCAUGUUGCAAAUUCUGUUGACUUCAAUUGUCGGACUUUUCUUAAUCCAUCCAACUUUGUAUAGCGAAGGGUGAGGCUGUAUAGGCAACUGCAAUUUCUCCAACAAUUGCUUAGCUAUCAGAUUCUUACAACUGCAACUCUCUAUAAUUAGCUUGCAAAUCGUUUCUCUCACUCAACAAUUUGCCUGUAAAAUCUUCCUCCUUUGUUUCUCAUCCUCUUGUUUCGUCAAACAUAAAAUUUUCUUCAUAAUAUAGGCGAUCUCUCCAUCUUCAGAACCAGCAAUAGAUCCAUCAUCUUCAUCUAUUUCAUCCUUAGAUUCAACCACAUUAACCUGUCGAUGAUCAUUAUUAAUUCUCCUGCGUUCUGAAUAAGUAUUCAAUCGAUAUCCAAAUUGUCUGUAACGAUCACAUAUUUCUUCGGUUGAUUUUUUAUAAGAAUUGAUUUUACCUCCUUUCUCUGCUGUGUUGAUGACUGCCUUUCCCUUACUGUCUCUCAUUUCUUCCUUUCUUUCGCUCUUUUCGCCAUCUCAAUAGCAUGUGCCAAAGUGAAAAUCGCAGCUACUUCCAUCAUAUAACGAAUUUCAUAAUUCAGUCAUCUCUGAUAAUGAGCAACCUGCUGGGCUUCGUUCUCACAGUUAUCACACUUCGCUUACAACUUCAAAAACUCCUCUGUAUAUUUAUCCACCAUUCGACUCCCAUGAAUACAGUCAUGAUACCGGUUAUACAAAAUAUGGGCGUGAUCACUAGGUAAGAACCGUUGUUCAAUCAUCUGCUUCAUCAACAACCAGUUUCGUAUAGGUUCCAGCUUCCUGUGAUAGAGUUUGUUUUAAACAGAAUUCUACCAUGCUGCUGCUCCACCCUUUAAUUUAUAAGCCACAAUUAGAACCUUUCAAUCCUCUUUCACGUUCAUAAUUUCGAAAAAUCGAUCAACCUCCGUUAACUAAUUAAGAACAAAUUCUACAUUCUACAAAUCAGAAAAGUUUUGAAGGUCUAUCUUUAUCUUGUAACAUUCGUGAUAAUCCUGUUGGAAAUUUACAACCACAGGAUUUGGAACUUGCUAUGGACGUCUUCAAAAAAUCGAUCAACCUCUGUUAACCAAUUAAGAACAAAUUCUAAAUCUUACAAAUCAGAAAAGUUUUAAACAUCUAUCUUUAUUUUAUAACCUUCGUGAUAAUCCUGUUGAGAAUUUGCGACCAUAGGAUUUGAAACUUACUAUGGAAGUUCAACUGCGGCAAGUUGGUUAUUACCUCGUUAUAGGGCUAACUGUUCAAUCAUCUCUCUCAAUUCUACUAAGGAUAUCUCAAUUGCAGUAAGUCGCACCUCUUAAUUGUCGGCCAUGGAUGAACUUUGCUCUGAUACGAACUGAACUAGAACUGUUUAAACUCCACCAUGACUUUUAACCAAUAACAUUUGGUUACGACGAGAAUUCAGAAAACGAAAAGCUAAAAUUCAAAAUUUUUUUAUUGAAUUCUAGAAAAUUAAAAAGUGUCUCCAAUAGCUAAAAAAAUACUAUUUAUAAUAACAAAAACCCUAAUUCAAAAAAUUAUUAAAAAAUCUAAAAGAAUAAUUAAAAUACAAAAUUAACCCCUAAAUAAUAAAAUUUAAACUUUGUAAUAGCCUGUACCCCUUGUCAUGUCACACUUUUGAUAUUCAUCACUCUCGAAAUUUCCUUUCCGGACAGCUAUUAUGAAUCUUUAACGAACAUCGACAGUAGAAAUUAAACCCGAUCUAAAUCUUUUAUAAAAUAUAAGGCUAAUUGCUCCGCAUUAUAAAUACCCACAUAUUUAUGUAUUGAAUUCAUAGUGUACUGGAUUUAAGCAAUAAUUGCCUAAUCCCACAAAUCAAAUUAAGCAUACUAACUACUGACAACACUACCUUCUGGGUAACUCUGUGAAACGGUUGUAAGAAGUAGCCGGAGUUUUCAACUUCUAAUUCCACUUCCAAUUUAUUGGUUGAACAAAUAAUUUACUCAUACACAAACUGAAAAGAGAUCGUUUACAUUAUACAUCCUCAUAUAACACAAGAAAAGAUACCAGCAAAGAAGCACACCCAUUUUACCAAAGAAGAUGUAGACAAAGCAUAAUUAGGUGAAGAGAAAUGAAAAGGAACUUCCAUCUUUGACCGAUCAUCGAAGAUUUAUUUUCAUCAGGACCUAUGUUCAAAAGUGAAAAGAGCAAAAUUAGUAAGUUUAUAGCCCAUACUAUGAGAAAAUUUAUGCAGUAUCACCGUUGUUCUGUGUAGACAAUCUUAUAUGGAAUGCAAAACUAAUGAAAGUUGAACAAAUAGAUAAAUAUACCCAAUAAAUAGAUGAGCAAACCUAAAAAAGAUGGUAACUAACUAGCAAGUUUCUUGUUUUUCAAAAAAUAAAUUACUUUUACACAAAAUGUCUCUACUCUAUUAAUUUGCCAUACCAUGUAAACAUCUUCCAUGGUAUAACUGUGGUACUGUGUAAUUUUUCCCAUACUACACAAGUUACGGGCUGUUUAGGAAUAUUACUAGCAGAAGCUUGCUAAAAUAUUAGUUAAUGCAAUGAUAUACAUCUACAAGACUAUAACACUAUUAGGUUUAGUUUCAAUUAUGAUUUGAAUUUCUCAUCGAUUUCAACACAAUCAUUAACUUUUGGUUCUUUUUAACAAAUCACUCAGACUUCAAAUUUUUAUUUCAUUUUCUUAUAGACCUAUAACAAUAUUUUUGGGUCGAUGACCAAGUAACCAUUCUAAUAUAAUUCUACUGGUUAGUAGGAUUGUGAUACUUAGCCGUUACCAUUAAAUAAAAAACUAUGGCUAAAUCUAUAUAAAAAUACAAUAAAGCUCACAUUAUUUAAGUAAAAUUCAAGUCCUAAGCAAUUUUGCUAACGUGUAAAGAAAUUUGAUACCUGAGUGCAAAAGGAGAAACAUAGAAAUUUAAUAACUACACUGGAAUUCAAUGAUUUCCGUAACGACACACCAGCUAUAUGCAUAUUAACCUUUUUAAUAUCACUACCAAUAUGUUAAAACAAGUUUAACAUGAAAAUUAUGAGAUGGAAGGCGAAAGUUAAAGAGUUGGUGCAAGCACUUCUACGGUUCUACCUGGAUUGCUGGCUGGACAAGUGUUUACUGUCGCAAGUGUUGUCAAUAUGCUUUGGUUAGAGAACCCAGAAUAGUCACAGGUUGUUUGGUUGCAGCCUACGGCAGUAGUGUUUCCAACGGAUAAAAUGUCUAGCCCUUCACAUAGCAUGGAAGGACAAGUUUGCCAGGUGUUGUUAGCUGGUCUAAGCCCAGAGGGUUGACAUUGUAAUCUGGAGAAUGAAAGAAAAUUAUAAAGAAAACAUAACUUUCAGGGAAUAAAUUUGGCUAAAUAUUUCAACAUGUACACUUACGUCCAGUCUUUUGCAGAAUCACAACUGCAUCUCAUGCAACCGUUAGCAGUGAAGACAUAAGUGCCAUUAGAAACGAGCAAAGGGUAAUCUAGCGAGCUAUUGCUUACGGAUGAAUUGCAAGCUGUGAAUAGAGUAUAACAUCAUUAAUCCAUAUAAAAUAACAGAAUAAUUCAAACUCAAAAUACAUGAAGAUCAAUAAAGUUCCUGCACUAUCUGAGCACACAUAGCAAAAAGUAGUUACCAUUUCAUCCAAUUAUAUGCUUUCUAAUUGAAACUGUUACCGAUUGUGACUCCAUUUCUGUACUUUCUAAUCAACAUGCACAUGUAUGGUUUCCUUAAACUCUAAAUUUUCAUAAAUUAAUAAGAUUACACUUGUUUAACUUUACCAAUUUAUAAAAAUUCAGAGCGAAGUUAGCAAAAUUCAGCCUAAAACUAUUUGAUCAGCCAAUAGUUGAAUCAACUGCAUGCAAAUUUAGUAGGGGAUGCUUCCAGACGGUUACACCAAUAAUAUGGAGAUUGCAAAGCCAAAGCUUUAAUCAUAAACAUCACAUAAAGCUUGUAAACCAAUGAUCAACUGCUAAUCUCACUUCCAACAAGCAAAUUUAUUACAUAUUAUCUAAAUCAUCAUUGUUUUUUAAUUUGUUUUACAAAAGAACAGGGAGACAUGUACUUAUUAUCACCAUCCACUCAUAAACCUACUUUUCUCAACAUUAUGCUAAAAAGGCAAAAAUAUUUUUAUUGAACGUUGGGAUGAGGACAUAUGCCUGUCAUGAUGAAAGAAUAGGAGAAACAUGUCAUAUAGAAAAGAGGACCCACAUAUUAUAUGGACAAUUGCUAAAGCUGUAUGCAAUAAAUGAGUCCUAUAAUAUUUGCUAAAGCUUGUUUGUACAGCAAUUGAAUCAGUGGUCACUACUGGCAUAGAAUACAAGACAAAAGUGAAGUGGGCACCAUAUAUACUACAGAGUCGAUUCUUAAAACAAAAAAAAUUUUGAAAUUUUAUCUAAUCAACUAAAAAGAAGAACAUAAUUUUUCUUGAUCCAUUCUCUAUCCUCUAAAAUUAGUAAUUCAAUUUACUUUUCUUUUAUCAAAUUUUCUUUAGAAUAGAAGAAGUUCUAUUAUUUUUUAAUUUACAAUAUUUUUUCUUUAUAUUUUUUUUUCUUAAAUAAAAUAAAAUGAUUCAUGCUUAGAAUUCAUUUGAAAAUUUUCCUUUUCUUUUAGGGGAAAAGCGAAAAGAAAAGCUACCCAAAGAAAAAUGAAGAGCAGGGGAGAACGAAAGUGAAAAUGAAAGAAAAGAAAGAAAAACCUCUGAGGGGUACAUCAAGAACUUGACCAGCGAUGAGAGAACUAUCAUUAGCAAUUGAAUUAAGCCUCAUAAGUGUAUUUUUAGUAGUGCCGUAUUCCUGUGCAAUCAACUCCAGCGUGCUCCCAGAUUCCACCACGUGUCCAUAAUGGACCACUUUCUCUCCAUCUACCUCAUCGCAGCUGCACGGUAAUGGAAUCCAUAGCUUCUGCCCUUUAAAAAUCAAGUUCACGUUCGAUAUAUUAUUAACGGCCGCGAUUUCUUGAUACGUCACCAAUCCCGAGUACACCUCCCUGGCUAUAUGAUCAAGGCCGUCGUCUGGUUGGACGGAGUAGAUGGGUUUCUUAUUGGAGAUGCCAGCGCCAUUGGAGCACAAGCAAGAGAAGGGGAUCUUGAUAGUCUGCUUAGCUGCUAGAGUUUGGUUGGGUAAGGUGGAGAGAGGGAAAUUGUUAGCGCCGAGGAGGGUGCGAAGGUUUUUGAUGGAAAAGAGGGUUUCUAUGGCGGAAAGUGUGGUGACAUUUGAAGGGACAUAGUCGAUCACAGCGCGGCAGGAGGCGGAUGUUGCGCAUUUGAAGGGCUGCGACAGUGAAGUAGUGACGAGAGCAGCAAAGAGGAGUAGUAUUAGACUGAGAAGUAGAUGCGCAGAAGGAAGAGCCAUUUGUGGAUUGGAAUGGAGUUGUUGCGCGAUGUCCAAAGAAGAAGAUGAGGGCAGAAUGGGGUUUUUGUUGGACUUGAAUAAUGCUCGCGCAGAGACAAUGACUUGAGUUGUGUGGAUUUGUGGAAGAGGAGAGUGUUAUUUAAAAGGAAAAAUUAUACUAUAAAUCACUGAUUCCAGCUUAUCAAUCGCAAUAGUUACUUGUUUGAACCUUAUUAGUUUUUCCUCCAUUUUAAAAAAUAUAUUAAUUAAUUUUAAAAAAUCAUGAAUAUUAAAAAUUUUAAAAAUCAUGAAUAGUUAUAUAAUAUAAAAAAUUUAAAAAUAUAAUUUAUGUGAAGAAAAUAAUUAAUAAAUAAUUUUAUAAAAUUAAAUAAUUAAUAAUUUUUUUUUUCAAAAGUUAAAGGCCUUUAUUUCAUAUAUAAUAAAGAGCGGAAACUUUUUUAAAAAUUAAAUUUUUAAUAAGUUGACCGUUUAAUAAAAAAGUAAUCGCUUUAUCAGACAUUCAAAUUAUUUUCUAGUAAUGCANNNNNNNNNNNNNNNNNNNNNNNNNNNNNNNNAAAAAAAAGAAACCGAAAAAGAUGCUUCAGAAAGUUCAGCGGCUUCAAAUUGGCACCCGCUGCUUGUGCCUUAUUGAAAAUAAAUUUUUUUGCAAGAAAAAAUUUUAAUUGAUUUUUUUAUAAUUUUAUAUAUAAAUUUUACUUUUUAAAAAAGAGAAUUAAUAAAGGAAAUAAUUAAUUAAAUUAAAUUAAAUCAUUGUAUUUUUUUUUAAUACCAAACCACAUAUAUGAAUAACUACAUAGUGUGAACAUAUAAUUAAUCUAAGAUUAUAUUCAAUAUGAAAUCCCUUAAUUCCUGCACUUUGACCAUUUAUUUUGGUAUAUUAGAAAUAAAAAAUAAAAUUAUUAAAAUUAUCUUUAACAUUGUGAAGUAUUAAUUUUAUAUUUAAAUAAAAAAUAGAAAAUUCAUUACAACCGAGGAAUAUAAUAGAUAUUUUAGCUUAACUUCGGAAAAAUUAAUUAAUACACACUCAACAAUAAGUGUUUGUUAAUUAAGAGAUUUAUUAUUAAAAUUAUUUAAAAAGUUAUAUGAGAUUUGUGAUUAAAUUUUUUAAAAAUUAAAUAAAAAUGAUAUAAUAAAAUAUUUAAUUAAAUUGAUUUACAAAUACUAAAAUAAAAAAGCUGAUGCUUAAUCGCCAUGGUUAUUGGUGUAAACGCGUUGUACAUGUGAACAAACUCUUGAUUUUUUUUUUAAUCAGUGAAUCGUUGAAUUCACAUCAAUUUUUAAGUUGAAUUUUUAAAGAAAGCUUUCACAGUGAAACAAGAAAGAGAAAGUCCGAUCGAUUUAUUUUUUCCAUGAGAGGAGGUUUUAGCUCCUGAGCCUCCUUCUAUUAUUUUAUUCUCAUCAUCUUGUUUAUUUCAUUUAUUUUGUCUAUGUUUAAUGAAUUUGAUCUCCUGUUUAGAGACUUUAUUGAUUUUAGUAGUGUUCGGGGUAUUUCUUGCUGCUCGGGGGAGAAUCUUUAUUUAUUGACGCCAUCAAGUUAGAACUACGUCGCUAUGUUCAAUGACCAACGUUCCUAAAAAACUUUGUCGCAUCUCCUUUCUUGAUGUUGUGUUUGCUUGUUUGUAGAUUUGGACUUUGUUAGAGUUUCAGGCCUUUGUUUGUUGGUGGUUGUUCUUAUUUGCAUGGGCAAAUUUUGGGUUUGUGAGCUAAUUGUCGGAUUUUUUUAUAUUUUUGCUCUUGAUUGUCUACCGUUUGGAUUGCAUGUCUUUGUGGUGUGUGUUGAUUUCUUUUCUAGGCAUAUAUAUGGUUUUUUUUAACUUUUAUUUUUAUUUUUUUUAGCUAUGACUAGUGUAGAAGCGGAGGCUAUGGCACAUAGUAGGGGUGAGCAGUAUUCGGUUCAAAUCAAAAAAACCAAUCGAAUCGAACUGAUUUAAAAUUUUAGUUCGAUUUUUUAUAUAUUUCGGUUUGGUUCGGUUUUUAAUUUUAAAAAUUUCGGUUAUUUCGAUUCGGUUCGAUUUUGAUCAGAAAAAAUCGAAAAAACCGAAUCGAACCGAUUAGUAAUAAUAAUAUGUUUUUUCAAUAAUAUAUAGAAAUUAAAUCAUAUUAAAAUUAAAAUAUUUUAAUUAAAUUUUAAAAUAUUAAAAAUAAAGUGUAAAAAAUAAAAAAAUUAUUAAAAAUCAAAAUCGAUCAAACCGAAUCGAACUGAAUCAGACCGGUUCGAUUCAAUUCGGUUUCUAACCAAAAUCAAUUCGGUUCGAUUUUUAUAAACACUCAAAUUUCGAUUUUCGGUUUAUUCAAUUCAGUUCGGUUUUGAACCAAACCGACCAAAUGCUCACCCCUAGCACAUAGACUUGCUUUGGGAGUUGUUUGCGUUAUUCACUUGGAUGCGUCAGUUUAGCUUUAGAUCUAGUUUUUCUUUAAAACUUAUAUUUCUUUAGGUCUUUGAGCCUUUUAAUAUAAUCUUAUUUAUAUAUAAAAAAAACGAAUCAUCGACCACUUUACAUCUUUACAUUAUCUAACUAUAGUUCAUAUCUAUAUUAAUAUAAUAUGAUUUCAUCACAUUAUCCAAAGGUGACUAGUAUUUGAUUUGACUCCUGAAGUGAUGAAGGAUGAAGGAUGAAAAUUAAUGAUUUUGAGUUGUAAGCUCACUUUAAUCCUUUGUGCUUUGCUUUCCGCCUUGGACAAUGCAUCCAUGCAUUGUUAAAAAAAAAUAGUAAAAUUAAAUUUAAUAGUAUGAAUAUUUAAAAUUAUAAAAAUUAAAUAAUACUUAUAACUAAAUUUAUAAAAAUUAAAUAGUUUAAGGCCUUAUUCGGUAAAAAUAUUUAGCAGUAGCGUUUCGCUUAAGUCAAAACACUGAUUUUUAUUUAUUUAUUAUUUAGUAACUACUUUUUUAUAAUAAUGUUUGAUUGUUGAAGCUAUUUUUCCUAAUGUUUAUUAUUUAGUAACCAUUAAUUGUAUUAUAUAUAAUAUUAUUAUUUCCUAAUGUUUUUUUUAUUUUUUUAUAAAUUUACAAAUUCAAAUUUUAAUAUAUUUAAAUUAUUUUUAUUAUUAUUUUUUAUAUUAUAUUAUCGAUUUGUCAUAUUUUAUAAUAAUAUUAUUGAUUAUUUAUGACGUAUUAAAAUAUGUAAUUAAUUUAUUAAUUUAAGAAUAAUUUAUAUGUUUUAUCGUUGAUUUAUUGGAAAGAUAAUUUAUGUAAGUUUGUGAUAUAUGUCAAUUUGUAAUUUAUGUCAAAAUUUGAAUAAUAUUAUUUUUUAUUAUUAUUUCGUAUUUAAUAAUUAAAUUUAACAUUUAUUUUAUAUUAAAUAAUUUUAUUUUAAGUUAUUAUAUAAAUAAAGCUAUUUAAUAUUCACAAACUUAGUCUGAUGAUAAGAAAUUUGAGUAAAUUAAAUUUAAGAGAUCUUAGAUUUUACUUAUCCAAUCUUCAAUUUUAUUUAAAAAAAAAAUAAAACUAUUUAAUUGAUUUUAUUAUUUUUAAUUAAUAUAUUUGAAGAAGUGUUUCUAUUAGCUCCUCUAAUGCUAAACAGAAUCUAGCUUUGCUAGGUACAAUAAAAUAAAUCCGGAAUACCGUGCAAUCAGGAAAGGAUUAUGAAAAUAAGUGAAGCGGCAAAUAUCUCCAAUUUUAUUUUUUUAAAAUAAAUUUCUAAAUUUUAUAAAGACUAUUUGUUUUAACUGAUAAAUGAUGCUGAUAGAUAUCUAAUCACGACAUUAAUGUGUUUAGUAUUUAAUAAAUGUAUUUGAUAAUUAAUAGACUUUACAAUUAGAAUGGUUUCACAUAGCUGAUAAUUAUUUGACUUAUGUUUUUUAUUUUAAUUAUAUUAUCUUUUAAAAGUUUGGAGUGUUUGAUUUAAUCAUUAAAUACUAAUUGUCAGAAAAAAAAUUAUAAAAAUAAGUGAAACAUAAAUCUCUAUAUAAUUAAUUUAUUUAAAUUAGAGUUAUUUUAUUUAUAAUUUACAUAUAAAAAAAAUAAAUAUUUUAAAUAUCUAAAAUAUUAUUAUAAAUAUUUAAAUCAUUUUUCAAUACUAUGUAUAAACUAUAUUUUAAUUACUAAAUUUAAUAUAAUUAAUGAAUGUCUUUAUAUUUUUUAAAUUAAAAUUUUAAAUUCUUUUAUAUUUAAUUUUUUCAUACAUUAGUUCAAAAUAAAUAGAUAAUUAAUUUUUUUUAAAAUUAUAAUUUCUUUUUGAAAUACUCUUUAUAAAAUUGAGUUAAUAGCUAAAAAAAUAAUAUAAUUUUAUUUUUACUGCAAUUAUACCUUAUAUUUUUUUAUAGAUUAAACGCUAAUCUUUUAAAAUUGUUCCAAAUGCAUUUAACUGUUAUUUGUGCUGUUCAAAAAUAAUAAAAUUAACACGACACUCGCUACAUCACCACACCAUGUCAACAAAGCACUGUAUCAGCAAAAUUUAGAAUUAAUCGCUAAAAACAUUAUAUACUUUACUUUUAUUGCAAUUCUACCCUAUAUUUUUAUUUUUUACCAAUUAAACUAUGUUCUUUUAAUAUUUGACCAAAUAUACCCUAUCAUUACUUGUAUAGUUUGAAACUUACAAAAUUAUCCACUUAUCUUUUUUUACCAUUUAAAAAUUGCUAUUUAUAUUAUUAUUUAAUUUUUUUAUUUUUAUCAAUAAUUUUAUAAUAAAAUUUAUUUUAAUUUUAUUUUAACUAAAAUCAUUAUUUAACCGAUUUUUCAUCUGUUUAAUAUGCUUAUUAAUUACUAUUUAAUAUUACUUUUAAAACUAUCGAUAAGAAAAUAAUUUUAUUAAAUAUAUUAGUUUUGAAGUAUUAAAAAAUAAUUUAAAAUAAUAUUUAAUAUGAUUUCAUUUAAAAGUAUAAAAAAUAAUAAAAUAAUUUUUUAGAAUAUUCUUUUAAAAUUAUUUUUUACCUCUCAAAUAUAAUGUUAAUCCACUAAUUUUUUUUUAAUUAUACUAAUAUUUAAAGUGAAUUUUAAAAAAAUUAAUAAUAUAUGGAUUAAAUAUUUAAUUGUCUCACUUGAUUUGGUUAAAUGACUAAAACAAUAUAUAAUUCAUCUGAAAUCAUAGAUUCACUCUCCAUUCUUCUAUCUUCUAAAAAAAAUUAUUUAUAAAAUAAAUAAUUAUAAAAAAAACUCUAUACUUUUAAUUUUAUUAUAAUUCUACCAUAAAAUUUUAAUUUAUUAUCUAUUUUACUCUAAAAUUUGCUAAUCGUGACAUAUUAAUGUGGUAUUGACAUGACGAGUGAUGUGGCAAUUCUAUUAAUUUUUAACGGUUCAAGUGAUAAUAGGGUACAAUUAGAAUAAUUUUAAAAAGUUAAAAUUUAAUUGAUAAAAAGAUAUAGAGUAUAAAUGCAACAAAAUCAAAUAUAUAUAUUUUUUUGCUAUUAACUUUAUAAAAAUUUAUAAUUUACUUAAAAGUUAUUUGAUAUUAUUUAAAAAUAAUUAAAAUUAUAAAUAUUUUAAAAGAAUUUUAAAAUUAUAAAUAUUAAAAUAUUUUAAUCAACAAAAAUUAAAAAAUAAAAUAUUAAAAAUUAAUUAAAUAAAAUAUUAUAUAUAAAAUUAGUGGAGAUUUAAGUGUUUUUUAAAUAAAAAAUGAAGGAUUAAAAUAUUUAAAUUAUAAUGAUGAAGAGGAAUGAUUAUAAAAAAAAUAAAAGAUUAAAAUAUUUAAAUUAUAAUGAUGAAGACGGAAUGAUUAUAGAGAAAUUUAAGCGUAUAUUUUUAAGGAUUGAUUUUUUAAUUAUAUUAAAAUUUAAGAAUUUAAGUGUGAUUUAUCUAUUUAAAAAGAGUAAUAAAGAUAUUUCAAUAUUUUUAAGUGUUUUGAUUUAAAUAAUUAUUAAACUGAUUACGAAGAAAUUUAAAUAUUUAAUUUUAAAAAUAUAAAAAUUAAUGAAUAUUCAUGAGAACGUGUAUAUUCUAUUUUUUAUUUUUUUUUCUAAACUAUAUAAUAUCUUUUUACUUUUAAAUAUCAAUAUUUUAAUGACAUAUUUGGAUCAUGUCAAUCCAAAGGUCCUUCGGGAUAAAUUAAAACAUGGUGAUUAAAUUAUUUAUUUUUUCAAAAUUAAAAUAUAUAAAUAUUAAUUUUCACACAAAUUAAAGAUUAAAAUAAAUUAUAUAUUUAAUAACAUUUUAAUUAUUUUAAAAAUAAUUAACGAAAAAAAAAUAAACGACAGACGUCCAAAUUUAAUAAAGUAAAAUAUAAAAAAUAUACGUGUUAAUUUUAAAAUAUUUUAGCAAUAUUAAAUUGAAAGUUAAACGAUGGGACCCACUAUGUUUGUAAUAAAACCUCUGUAUCCUGAGUUAGAAAGGAGUAAAAGGAGUAAAACAAUGGCAGCCAUCCGUUGCAGCAACCAUCCAUUUCCAAAAACUGAAUAAUAAUCCUUCCAAAAAGGCAAAAGGAGAAAAGAUCACUGACCUGUGAGAGGAAUAUCAAUGGCGUUUCCAGCAAUAAGCUUACUAUCAUCGGAAAUAUCAUUGAGUUUAAACAGUACAUCACUCGUAGUCCCAAACUGCUUUGCAAUUCCUUCCAUGGUACUCAUCGCUUCCACCACAUGUCCAUAAUGAACAACCCUCUGCUCUUCCACAUCAUCGCAGCUACAAGGCAACGGAAUCCACAGCCUCUCUCCCGUUACAAUCAAAUUAGCAUUUGGAAUCUGAUUAACUUGUUGGAUUUCUGGAAAUUUCACCAAACCCCCAAACACAUCGCUGGCAAUAUAGAACAGAGUAUCGUCUUUCUGAACCCUAUAUCUAGGGAUAUUGUUUGAGAUACCAGUACCAUUAGCGCAACGGCAAGGGAUUGGGAUAUUGAUCACCUGUUGGGCAUUUACUGUGUAAUUUGAUGGGGUAGAGAGAGGAAGAUCGUUUGCGCCAAGCAAAGAGUUGAUGUCAUGGACGCCAAAGAAAUUACUGAGGUGGAAGAUGGUGGUUUGGUUGGGGGAUUUGUAGCCGAUUAGAGAAGUGCAAGUGGUUCGAUCACUCUGAGUGCAUUUGAAUCCAGCUUGGACUGUUGAUGGUUUGGUGGCAAAAGCAAAGAGGAAGAGUAGAGAGAUGAUUAUGUGAUGAGAAAAAUCCAUUGUUUUGAUUUUCUGGGUUUGGGAAUCAAAGGGCAAAUUGAGAUUUAAAAAUGGCGGUGGAGGUAGAAAAAGGAGCUGGGGAUGAAGGAGAAGGGAGUGAUUGUGAUUUUUCUCGUCCUUGUUGGAAUAAGGACUUUUUCAGUUUUGGCCGUAGCGUAGACUUAGAAUUUGAACCUGUUAUGACUUUAUGACUUUUUUUUUUAAUUAAUAAUUAAAAAAGGUACUGAUAUAAUAUAAUUAAGUAAUAUUUAAAUUCAUUUUAAAUUCAAUUAAAAAUUAAUCUAAAUAUAUGAUUAUAAAAUAAUUCUAAUUAAAUAUAAAAAUAAAUAUAAUUAAUAAAUUAUAUCUUAAAAGAAAUUAUAUAAUAAGAGGUAAUUGUUGUUUCUUAAUAUGAACAUAAAUAUCUAUAGACGGGAAGAAUCAAAUUUAAAAUUUUACUAUUUUUUAUCCUUUAAAUGCGAAAAAAGAUUGAUUAGAUUAAAAAUUCUUAUUAUUUCGUUUUUAUAUUAUUAAAAAUUUUAAUAGUUGAUUUUUUUAUUUUAAAAAAUAUAUUAAAAUAUUUUUAAAAUUUUAAAAAUUUAUUCAUUCGUUAUUCAAUUAAUUUUAAUUAUUAAAUAUUUUAGUAUUUAAUUUUUGUAAUUUGAAAAAAUUUAUUAGCUAUUUUUUUAAUUUUAUGAAAAUAAAUUAAUUAAUUUAUUUAUAUUGAGUAUAUUUUCUUUUUUAAUAUUUAAUAAUUAAAAUUAAUAAAAUGAUUAAUUAAUAAAAUUUUUAAUAUUAGAAAAUUGAUAGAUUAAGUAAUAAAUUUUUUAAUAAUAAAAAAUUAAAUAAUAAUAUCCCUUAAAUUAAUCAUGAUUAGCUCGACUUUGGACGCCCGAGUCUUGAAGGCAGAAGCCUGCUCAUAUUUAUGAAUUAAAUAAUGGUUUUGUGAAAAGCUGAUUCAACAUGUUUUGAUUUCUUAUCAGUGUUACACUUGUUAAAAUUUAUUAAAUAACUUAUUAAUUUUACGUUAAAAAAUAUUAAUAUAAUAUAAAAUUAUAUAUUUUAAUUAAUUUAUACAAAUAUCAGUAUAAUUAUUUAAUUUAACGAUUAUUGAACUUAUCCUCAUAUUAUAAAUUAGUAAAAAAAUAAUAAAUUUAAUAAAUUUCCUGCAAUAUCUCAUUCGUUUGAAAGCUUUUUGAUUUAAUGGCGAUUAAGAACAAAAAAUGAUAAAAUAUUAGAAUUAGAUGUGUGCAUUUAGAUUUUGAAUUAAGAUUUAUUUAAAAAUUACACUCUUUUUAAAAUAUAAAAGAAAUUUCUAAAAAAUUAAGACGUUUAUUUUAAAACAAUUAAAAUUUUGAAAAGGUAAAUUUGAUUUUUAAAAAAUUAUUAUUUAAUCCUUAAUAUUAUUAUUAUUAAUAAAUUAAUUUUUAUAUUUUUAAAAAAUUAUAGAAAUUUUAUUAUCUUUUCUUUUUAUUAAUAAAAUAUUUAUUUUAUUAUUUUUCCUAUUUAAAAUAGAUAAAAAAAAAUUUUAAAAUUUAAUUUUACUAUCAAAUAAACUCUUUAUUUAAUUUAUGAGUAUUAUCAUUAUUAAUAACUUAUAUCUGUAUUUUUAUAAAUUUAUUAAAAUAUUUUUAUUUUUUUUAAAUUUAUUAAAAUAUUUUUAUUUUUUUUAAAUUUAUUAAAAUAUUUUUAUUUUUAUCUCUAUUAAUGAAAUAGUCUCUUUUUAAAAAAAAGAAAAAAAAUUAAAAAAAAAAAUAAUUUAUUUUUUACUAUAUUUUUAAUGAUAAAAAUAAAUAAAAUAUCUAUUUUAUUGAAGAAAAAAUUUUAUUAAACUUUUUAAAAUUAAAAAAUUAACUUAUUAAUAAUGACAAAAUACAUAAAAAUUAAAUAAUAAAUUUCUCUCUCUGAAUUAAAAAUUAUUUUUUAUUUUUAUUUCUUUAAUCCCACUUUAAAAUCAUCAUUUUCAACGAAAUAACGAGUAAGAGUAAUCUUUAAAUAUUUAUUUGAGAAAAUUUUGAAAAAAAUACUAUUUUUUUGUAUUUUGAGAGUGAUGUAUUUUUAUAUAAAUAAAAGUAUAACUUUUAAAUAAGUUUACGUAAAAAUAUAUGCAUUUGAUAAAAAUUUUAAAGUAAAAUCUAGAGUAUGAAUAACAUAUUAAUAGAAAAUUCAAGGAAAUAUAAGAAGAAGCGCACGGUUGAAGACCUGAAAAGGUUGCACUUGCAUAUAAUAUUGUCUCCGCUGAUCGUGGAUUGCUGAUAUUACUCUGUACUUCUUAUUUAAGCCAUGGAUUUUGUCCCUUUAUAAAUUGAAAGAUGUCUAUAGUUUUAUUAGAGUGUAAAUAAAUUAAAUCGUUUGUGAAUUACUCAAAAUUCGAUUUGAUAAAAAUUUGAUUAAAUUCGAUUUGAUUUUUAAACGAGUUAAAUUCGAAUUUAAUUUUUAGACUCGUUUGAUAAAUGAAUCAAACUCGAAUUUAAUUUUUAAACUCGUUUAAUAAAUGAGGUAAACUUGAACUCUAUAGUAUUCGACUCGUUAAAACUCAUGAGCUCGGUUCGUUUCUGAAUUCAUAAACAGGUUCACGAAUAUUCUGGUGAACAAUCUCGUUAAGUAAACUGAAAUUAUUAUUAAAAGAGAAGUAAACUGAAAUUAUUAUUAAAAGAGAAAUAAACUCAAACCCCACUUAUAUUUUCAUGAGACAAAUCUAAAUUUUUUAAAAUUUAUCUCUAUAUAGUUUAGUUACACUCUCAAACUUACAUAUAUUUAAAUCAUUAAAAUUUAAAAGCUCAUAUUUAUAAGUUUACGUGCUAAUUUGUAAAUAUAUUUAUUUAAUUAAAAUUAUUUUAAUUUUAAAUUUAUUAAUUUUAAAUUAAAACUCAUUAUAUACGUAAAUAAAUUAAACUACUCGUGAAUUAUUUGAGAUUAAACUCGAUAAAAGCUCAACUCAGUUCAAUAAAAGCUUGAUUCGUCUAAACUAAUUUGCUAAACGAGCCAAUCUUGAAUUUUUUAAUAUUCAGUUCGAGUUCGAAAUGAGUAAAACUCGAAUUCGCCUCAAGUUCGAAAAAAUUUUAACGAAUCAAUUUUGAACUCUUCAAAACUCGACUCGACUCGGUUCAUUACACCACUAUGUUUUAUAAAAAAAAAAAAACAUUGAAUGUAUUCCCACCCGAUUAAUAAAUUUUUAUUAAAUUUGAGAUUCAUUAUAAUUAUAACUUAUUUGUUAUUGGUUUAUUAAUUGGAUCCAUGUAAGAAAUUUUUUAUAUAUAUUUAAAAUAAAAUAAAAUAAACAAUUACUAUCUAGUUUAUUAUAAAAAAUUUAUUAGUUAAUUUUUAAUUUUAAAAUUUAUAUUAAAAUAUUUUUCAUGUUUUAAAAAAUUUACUAAUUAAUGUUUAUAUUAAUUUUAUUCGUUAAAUAUUAUAAAAAAUUAAAAUUUUAAUUAAUAAAUAUUUUUAUAAAAUUAAAAAUAUAAAAUAUUUAACAGUAAAAUUAAUAAAGAUUAAUUAAUAAUUUUUUAAAAAAUAUUUUAAUAUAUUUUUAAAAUAAAAUAUCAAUUAAUAAAUUUUCUUAUAUAUAAAAUUAAAUAGAAAAUUUUUAAAAGAAAUAAAAAUAAAUUCAAUUAAAAACUUAUACUAUUCUUGCAAUAGUCAAAUAAGUUUAAUUCAAAACUUUAGAUCACUUAAAUUCAUAUAUUUUUUUAAGGGUCAAAUAAAUUAUAAUAUAAUAUAAUAUUUUUUUAAUAAUAAAUAUUAUUUUUAUAAUUUAAAAAUAAAAAAUAUUAUAAAAAAUAAAAAAUUUAAUAUUUUAAUUAUCGUAAAAAAUGUAGAGAAAAUAAAUUAUUUUUAAAAUUAUAAAAAUAAAAUUUUAUUAUAUAAAAAAUAUUUUAUUAUUAUAAAAGUAAUAUUGUAUUAUAUGAUGAUUUAUUUAUGAAGGCUUAAUUAGAGUUAUAUAAAAAGAAAAAGAAAAUCUAUUGGGGAGAGUUGAAGUGUAGUUGAUUGGUGACUGGAUUAAUGGCUAGGGUCAGAGUCAAAUCCGCAAUCAAUUGGAGCAGAUUUUAGAGUUCAUUUAAAAACGCGUGGAAUUGAUAAUGCGCCCACUCACAGAGGAUGAGAAGUAGCGUGCGGUCGUUUUGAACAAGUCGGUGUGAAUUGAUUUUUUAGGUCAAAUUAUUGGAAAAAUUAAAUUGUAAAGCAAUGAUUUCAUAUACAUUAAUAAAUUAGUUAUAUACACAUAUAUAAUUUUAGUCUAUAAAUUCUUUAGAUUUAUUCACGCAUUCACAUUAUAAGUUUUUCAGAUUUAUUCACAUUUAUUUAUUAUUAUUUUAUAAUUUAUCUAAAUUAUUAUUGGAGUUCAAGAGUUAAAACGUAUGGUUUAUGAAAAAUUGUACUCGUUCCGUAGAAAUUUAUUAAUUUAUAAUUUAUAAAAUUUACUCUGUUUUAUAAUUUUUAUUUAUUUUAAUUAUAUAUAUAUAUUAAAAAAAUAAUUUCUUAAUUAAUUUUUUUAUUAUAUUUAUUUUAAAAAUAUAAAAUUUUAUUAAAUAUUAAGAGAUAUUUUGAAUAAUUUUUUAGAAAUAAGAUAAAAUUAAAUAAGAUUAUAAUAAUUAAUUUUUAUAUAUAUUAAAAAAAUAAUUUUUUAAUUAAUUUUUUCAUUAUCUUUAUUUUAAAAAUAUUAAAUUUUAUUAAAUAUUAAAAAAUAUUUUAAAUGAUUUUUUAGAAAUAAAAUAAGAUUAUAAUAAUCUAUUUAUAUAUUAUUAUGGUGUAAAAAAAGGUAAAUAAUAAUUUUUAGACAAUAAAAAAAUUACGAGAUAAAUAAAAUAUAUAAAAAUGUAAAAAAAAAUAAAUUUACUCUAUAUUAAUUCAAUAAUUAUAAAUCUACCUUUAUUUUAAUCGACUAAAAAUUAAUAUAAUAAUUUAUUAUCAUUUAAAAAUUUUUAGAUUAUACUGGUUAAAUUGAUUUAGCAGUUAAAAAAAAAUUCUCUUAAUACUAAAACUUUAUUUUAUUAAGUUUUAUUAUUUCUUUCAUUUCAUAAUUUUUAUACAUAUUAAAAUAUAUUUUUUAUUAAUUUUUCAAUUAUAUUUAUUUUAAAUAUAUUAAAUUUUAUUAAAUAUUAAGAAAUAUUUUAAGAGGUUUUUUAGAAUAAAAUAAAAUUAAAUAUGAUUAUAAUAGUAAAUUUAUACAUUAUUAUUGGAUAAUAAUUUUAAAAUAAUAAAAAAAAAUAAAAAUUAUGAGAUGAAAAAAAUAUAAUUAAAAAAAUAAAAAAUUAUUAAAUCACUCAUAAAAUUUAAAAAAUAUAAAAAUUACAUAUACAUUUGAAAUAAUAACUAUUUUUAUUAAAUAUCUCUACUCAAUAUUAUGCAAAUUAUAUGCAUAUUAUUAUAUACUCUUAUUUGAAAUGCUAAAUUUUGAAAAAAUUUAAAAAUAAUUAUUUUUUUUAAUUUGUGUGUUCGGCAAAUCUAAUAAUAUAAAAAUUCAAUUUUCUUAAAUUUUUUAAAAAUUAAUUUUGAAUUAAAAAUAAAUUUUACCAAAUUAUUAUUUGAAUUUUGUAAGAAAUAAUUUCACUUAAGGGUUAUUUAUAUUAAGAUUAUUCAAUUAGUCUUUAAAAAUUUAUUUAUUUAUUUAUUUAUUUUAUUUUUUAUUCUUUUAUUUGUUUUAAUUUUAAAUUUAUUUUUUACUUUUAAUUAAUAAUUACUAUAAAAAUUAUUUUAAUGUAAUAGUGAGUAUUAAUAUAUAGUUAAUACAUUUAUACUUACUAUUAAAAAUUUAUUAUAUUAUUUUGUUAAUAAAAAAUAUAAAUUAUAUUUUUAAUGGUAAAAAAUUAUGUAAAAUUCAGAUUUUAAAUGUUAUAAAAUAUUAAUAAUGUUUUUUAAAUGAAUAAAAAUAAUUGUUAUUUAUAGAAGUAAAUAUUUAUAUUCAGUUUUAAAAUAAUAAGAAUAAUAAAUAAAUUAAAUUAAUUUAAAUUUUAUUAUUAAUUUAUCUAAUAUAAAAAAUUUUAAUUGAAUCCUAUUACAUCUAAAUAGAUUACAAAUCAAUGAAUUUUAUUUAUAAAUAAAUAUAAAUUAAAUUCUAUUGAUAGAAUUCAAUUUUUUCUCAGAAGAAUUGCAUACCAAACAAGAGCUAUAUAAAAAUACUCUAUUUCAUCUAAUAAUAUAUAUUAAAUAAAAUGAAAUAUUAGCUGUAAAUAAAAUGAAAUAUGUGUUUUUGUUUUGUUUCAAAUUUUAAAUUUUUAUUAAUCUAUUAUAUUUAUAUAAAAGUGAAAUGAGAGAUAAAUAAUGAAAUUAAUAAAAAAAAGAUACUGUUAAAAUAAAAUAUUUAUUUUAAGAAUUACCUUAUCAGUCAAAUAAAAUUAUAUGGACUAUAUCAUAAUUUAUUAUUAAUUUUUAAAAUUCAAUUUAAUUCGUGAUAAAUUGAAAAUAUUUAAUUUUAUUAUUCAAAGAUUUAAAUUUUAAAUAUAAUAUAAAUCACUCUAAAUUUAGACUUUUUUCCCUCAAUUUCCAUUAAUUAUAUUAUUUAUAUUUAUUUAUUAAAUAUUUAAACUACAAUAAUAACUAACUAAACACUUAAAUUUAUAAAAAUUAUAAUAAUUAAAUACAAAAUAGAUAUAAUUUGUUAAAAAAUUUAAAAAAAAUUGAUUUAUUACUAAGUGUACUUAAAAUUUUUUUCUAAUUGAUCUCUAAAUUUUCAUAAAAUGAUAAAUUUGCUAUUGUCUAAUUUUGUUAAUUUAUAAUAAUUCAAGGAACAAUCAAUAAAACUUAAAAGUAAAAUCAGAAAUAUAAUUAUUUUUGUCUUAAAAGGGUAUCAUUGUCAUUAGAAAAAAAAUAAUCAAAGAAAGACUAAUAUGUAAAAUGUUAUUAUUCUUAACAAAAGGACGAAUUUAUUACUAGACAGAAGUAAAACUUAUGUGCUUAUUUAUUAAAAAAACUUAAUUUCGAGGCUAAUCUAUAAUUUUAUUAAAAUUCAAGGAUUUACGCGUAAAUAUUUUUAACAAAAUCAUGUAUUGUAAUAAAUUUUGCCAUAUAUUAUAAUGAAAAUUACUACUAUCACUUCUAUUUAUAGUUUUUUGUUUUUUUUUUUUUUCUUAAAAACACUGACAAUCUAUUUGGUAAUAUAUAUCUAUAACUUCUUUCACCUUUGUUUUCACAAUACAAAAACAUAAAACCAGAGAAAAAAGUUUUUCAUUUUAGUUUUCCUGCAUAUGCCUUUUCCAUUACAACAUUAAGUUGCAAUAUUUUUUUUGUUUAAACUCAUAUUAUUAAUAGUUACAGUAAUAAUUAUGGAUUAUAUGCUAUGACAAUAUAUUCUCUCAAGUUACUAUUACAUAUUCUUUAAAUUUUUGGUGUAAAGGCAAUGAGAUUUUAUAUAGAGCGAAUUCGGUAAAAUUUACAUUAAAGAUAUUUUGCAACUAUUUACACUACAAAAAAACAGACUAUCAGUGACGGAUUUUUCCGUCACUGAAAGUCAAAAAUCCGUCGCUAAAGCUUUCAGCGACGGAUUUCCGACGGACUCAAAUCCGUCGCUUAAAGUCAUGUCGCUAAUUUUUUCCGACGGAUCGGGCGUCCGUCGGAAAUAUUAGCGACGGAUUUCCGACGGAUCUGAAUUCCGUCGGAUAAAUUUGCGACGGAUUUUCCAACGGUUAAUUUCGUCAGAAAUUUUUGCGACGAACUAGUUCGUCGCUAAAUCCAUCGGAAAUUUCUAAGUCACGUGAUGCAUAAUCCGUCUCUAAUCCGUCGCAAAUAAUUAGCGACGGAAAAGUUCCGUCGGAAAUCCGUCGGAAAUAUUAAUAUUCAAUAAUAUUAAUAAUAUUAUUUAUAUUUUCAAUAAUAUUCAUUAUCGUCAACAAAAUAUUUUUCGAUUUUAUUUAGACAUUCUUAUAAUCUAAAUAGUUUACAACUAAAAAAUAAAUUUAAUAUAAAUUAAAAGUCAUUCAUAAUCAUUAUAAUUCAUAUUCAUACACACAAAUACUUCACAAUGUUUACAAAAUCGAAAGUUUAGAACAAAUCCAUAUACUUAACAAUAUUCAUAAAAUUUAAAACAAAUCUAUCAGUUUGCUGAAACAUCUGAUGGAGAAGUAGAAUCUACAGUUGUGUGAUGAUGAAAAUAUGUUUGCUUGUGGAGUAUGCUCUCGUGUUUCCUUUUGCAUCUCUGUUGCCUCAUGUCUUUCAUUCAUAGAGAGCUGCUGGCCAUGCCCUCUACCUCUAAGAUAAUACUGCUCUUCUAGACAUAUGAAAAAAAAAAUUUAUAUAUAAAUUUCAAUUAACAAUAUUACAAAAUUAAUAUAAAAUUUUCUUUCUUCAUAACAAAAUUACAAAAAGUAGAAUGAAAAAAUAGAAAUAAUAUGAUAAACCCAAAAACUUGACAUAUAGAAACUCAUGUGAAGAACAUGAACCCUUCUAAUAUGCUACAAGAUCCUCUCACCCACCCCACACCAGCCUCCGUGGUGCAACUCCACUCAACUUCCUAUCAACUUAAAUUUUUAACCACCAUCCUAAGCAUAAACCAAACUAUGAAAAGCAAAGAUGAAAAAUAAGGAACCAAAUUAUAUCCCAGGAAACUGAACAAUUUAGUAGAGAUUAUUAUCUUUUUCCUUAUCUCUCUUACAGGACAAAAACUCAUCAUAUCUCCUUUUUACAGUAUCAGAAAAGAAAAUGCAUCAUACUUGGACAUUAUAGCAGAUACAAAAUGCAAAUGAACAUCAUAUUUCAAACCUCAGCUUAGAGCACUCCUUUAUGGUAAAUCAACCAAGAGAACAAAAAAUCAAGAGUAUCAAUUUAUUAGAUAAGCUAUUUUUCUGUACCUUCAAGAAAAAGAAGAAUUAGCAUGCAAUCAAUCAUAGAAUGAAUAACUAGCUCCUGCAUAUCAUUCUGUAUCAUUACCUUGGAUGAAUUUAAAAGAAGAGAAACUCAUCUGGUCUGGUGAAGGCUGAAAAAUGAUCCCAGCUUACCCCAUGACACAAGCACACUACUCUUCAAAGUUUAUUUCUAUUUAAACUAAACAGCCAUGACAUAUAAAUGAAGUCAAUUUUACUACAGUCAGAUUAUUUAUUUGUUAGCCAAGAAUGUAAUACCUUAAAAAAUUCAACAAAUUUGGGAAUGUCAUUCGCAGACUCAGCAGAAUUCAUUUUCCUUCCCUGCUUCUCAGAAAUGCUAAUCAAGAGUUCUUUGGCACCUGCAUCCAAAUUAUCAAUCAUAAAUUGCAGGACUGCAAUUAAGAGAAGUAUAUAUCCACAAUUCUCAUGUUGAUGUUGAACUUUUCAAGUGUUUAGAACCAUAUUUUUGGAUAGUGAACAAAGAUGUAUGAUGUAUGAUACCACAAGUAUUUAUAUAUAAAUUUCAAUUUAUAUAAAUUUUAUAAAUUUUAUAUAAAUUUCAAUUUAUAUAAAUUUUAUAUAAAUUUAUAUAUAAAUUUAUAUAUAAAUUUAUAUAUAAAUUUCAAUUAAACGCAGCAAGCUGCUGGGCACGCAGCAAGCUGCUGCGUGCCCACGCAGCAUGCUGCUGCGUGCCCACGCAGCAUGCUGCGUGCCCAGCAGCAGCUGCUGCGUGCCUAGCAGCAGCAAGCUGCUGCUGCGUGCCCAGCAGCAGCAAGCUGCUGCUGCGUGCCCACGCAGCAAGCUGCUGGGCACGCAGCAAGAAAAUAUUUUUAAUUUUUUUUUUAUUUUUAAAAUACUUGAUUAAUUAAAAAUAUUUUACUAUCUGCAACCAUUGAAGCAAAUCCCAUAUUCACUAACUUACAUGGAGUGGCGACGAUCGGAAGUUGCACCGGCGGGUGGCAACGGCGGUGGAGGCGACAGUGAGGACGAGGCGACAGCGAGGACGAGGCGACAGCAAAUCUGUCACGGGAACGGCGAGGCGACGGCGGCGGUGAGUGGCAACGGGGCGCGCGACAGCAACUUGCGGCAGCUUUGGGACUCACAACGGCGACGGCGGCGGCGGCGGCGAGAGUGGCAGGAAGAUCGAUUCGGCGCUGAGGGGAAGAUAGGAGAGGAAAAGCGUGGCUGAAAUUAUAAGAGAUGAGGAAAGAGAAGUUUAGGGUUUUGUUUUUAUAUUGUUUGAUUUUUCUGACGGAUUAGCGACGGAAUAAAUUCCGUCGCUAAUAUUUUAAAAAUCCGUCGCUAAUCCGUCAGAAAUUUAAACAUAAACUAUUCGUCGUUGAUCCGUCGCUAUUUUUUUUUCCGACGGAAGUAAAUUCCGUCGCUAAAUCCGUCACUGAUACCUUGUUUUUUUGUAGUGUUAACUUUAUUUGCAAGCUUAUCUAUUACCACGUUUAAUGGAUUAAACUUCUUUGAAUGAAAUAAGUCAAGUUCCGCUCAUGUAUCUGAGAUAUUAACUUACUAUUAUAGAAUGAUAAACAUGCUGCCAUUAUAAUAUAAGCAGUCAGAAUGAGAAUUUUUACUAUAAAUAAUAAAAACAUUACCGAUUAAACUUUAGGUUUGUGAAUGAUUAUUGCUAAUAAUAUUAAGACAUUUAUUUUAUAAGUUAAUUGACGUGGAGAAAUUAGUUUUGAAUUUUACGGCAGAUUUGGACUGCGUCUAACAUUUGCUGCCGACAUCCAAAAGAGAUUCACGAUAGCUUUUCGGAAAGAAAAUUUUGAGACGCACGACUUUCAAAAGUGUGACAAGGAUCAAAGACCUGUCACAAAGUUCAAAACGAAAAUUUCAUCGUUUAGGGAGUUAAUUUUGCAUUUUAAUUAUUUUUUUAAAUAUUUUUAUAAUUUUAUAUAUUAGGGUUUUUUCUAUUAUAAAUAACCUUUCAUUGACUAUUUGAAACUCAAUUUUCAAUCUCUUAAGAAUUUCAAAAAGACUUUUCGACUUUUAAUCUCUCGUUUUUAUUAUUUCGUCUUAGUCAAACUUUAUUAGUUAAAACUCCUCUAUUCAGUCUUAUAUCACUAAUAGAAAUAAGAAAUAUAUUAUACUUGUCGUACUCUAAUGGCAUAGCUCAUGAUCAUGAAGUUUGAGUUCAAUAGAUAUACAAGAGCAUAUUAUUAAAAUGAGUAACAUCGCAGUAUGAAAACUUUAAUGAUGAUGAUUGAUGGUUUCUUUUUGGUGUAGUUUAUUAUGAACACACUACCUCGUAAAAAUAUGGGGUCAUUUCAAAUUAAUUAUAAGACCAUUAAAAAUAAGUGAAAUGUUAAUAUAUUUUAUCCAUUCCUCUUUUACAUAUUACCUCAAUAAUUAUUAAAAAUUUAAAUAAUGUUGCAUAAUAUAAUAGUGAAAUACACUAUAAAAUGACUAACUGACAAAUUAUUGAUAGAGGUAAAUCAUGAUCUUAAUAAGAAAUGAGAUUGAUAAUUGUUGAAGAUUAUGUGGUUUACUUGCAAGAAUCAUACUCUGUUAUUAGAAUCAAUAAGGAUCCAUAGUUAUUUUCAUAAGUCAUAGAAACGUAUUGAGUCUAAUAAAUGAAUAGAUGCUAUUAAAGAAUAAAAUCAUGUGACAAAAUAAAGUAUGAGAUUUGUUAAUUAUAUAAACUACCUCGGUAUAAAUGGAUUAUUAAGACCAAACGCGACUCAAAUGACAUAAAAUAAUUUGUUACUAAGAUAUAUACUCAGAAAGAUAGUAUUGAUUAUAAAGAGAGGUUUCAUUAGCUUCAAAGAUAAACUUAUUAAGAAUAAGGGAAAAUUAUAAAAAAAUUAUCAUGUGAUUUGACGUAUUUUUUAAGUAGAAUUAUAUAAUUUAAUUUGUGACAAAAAGAAUCAUGUAGUUUCACUCCGUUAGUAAAGUGAAAUUUUUUUUCUCUAACACCGCUAUGAAACGCUAAUGUUGCAUUUAAAAAUUAAUUAAAAAUAAAUUUUAAUUAGGAUGAAUUACAUUUUAAUCCUUAAAGUUCUAUAAAAUAUAUAAGGAUAAUUUACGAUUUAGUCCCUGAAUAUUGCCAUUAUUAACAAGUCAGUCCCUGUAUUUUUAGAAACCUAUUAAAACGUCCUUAUAUUUUAUUUCCGUCAACAAAAUAGUCCUUCCGUCCUAUUUUCCGUUAAAAUUAGACAAAGGAAGAGAGAGAAAAUUUUUAAAAUCCAAUUUUACCCUCAAAUAAAACCAUUUAUUUAGUCCUUGUAUAUUAUAAUUAUUAACAAGUUAGUCCUUACAUUUUCAAAAAUCUAUUAAAAUAUUUUUAUCUUUUUUCAUAUCUAUUAAAACGUCCUUAUUAUUUUUUUCCAUCAAUGAAAUAGUCCCUAUCUUUUCUCACAUCUAUUAAAACAUCCUUAUCGUUUAUUUAAAUCAACGAAAUAGUCCCUCCUCAUCGUUUUUUUCUGUCAACGAAAUCGUCUCUCCCUAUAUUUUUAGAAAUAUAUUAAAACGUCCUUAUUGUUUCUUUUUGUCAACGAAAUAGUCCCUAUCUUUUCUCAGAUCUAUUAAAACAUCCUUGUUAUUUCUUUUUAUCAACAAAAUAGUCCCUAUCUUUUCUUUCCUCUUCCUCCUCCUCCUCCUCCUCCUCCUCCUCCUCCGAAAAAGAAGAAGAAAAAGAAGAAGAAGAAGAAGAAGAAGGAGAAGAAGAAGAAGAAGAAGGAGAAGAAGAAGAAGAAGGAGAAGAAGAAGAAGAAGGAGAGAAAGAAGAAAAAGAAAAAAAAGAAGAAGAAGAAGGAGAAGAAUGAGAAGAAGAAGAAGAAGAUAAAGAAGAAAAAGAAGAAAAAGAAGCAAAAGAAGAAAAAGGAGAAGAAGCAGAAGAAGAAGGAGAAAAAACAGAAGAAGAAGAAGAAAAAGGAGAAGAAGCAGAAGAAGAAGAAGCAAAAGGAAGAAGAAUUGAUGAAGAAGAAAAGGAAGGAGGAGGAGGAGAAAAAUAAUUGGGGGUAAUUUAGUCUUUUACUAUAUUUUUAACGGCAAAAAUAGACAGAAGGACUAUUUCGUUGACGGAGAGAAAACAUAAGGACGUUUUAAUAGGUUUUUGAAAAUACAGGGACUGACUUGUUAAUAAUGGCAAUACCCAGGGACUAAAUCGUAAAUUACCCAAUAUAUAAUUUGGUUCAUAUACUUAUUAAAUUUAGUUAUAAAGUUUUAUUUUGUAAUAAAAUAGUCCCUUUGGUUAUAAUUCUUCCCUAUAUUCUUACAAAUUGCUCCCUAAAUAUUAUAAUUGUUUAUAAAUAAAAAUUUAUUUAUUUUUUAUAAAUUAAUUUCACAUGUUUAUUAAAUUUAAUAUCUUAUAGUUAGAGAUAAAUUAAUAAAAUAAAAAUUAAAUAAAAAAUCUUAGCAUAAUAUACAUCUAAAUUCAAGUCUAAAUAGUCCUUUCUCAUUUAACUUUUCCCUUUUCAAUGAUUUUUUUUUAUUUAAUUAUGACAAAAAAGAGAUAUUAAAUUUUUUUAAUUUUUUUAUUAUUUUUCACAUAUAAGAUAUUAAAAGCUAAUAAAUAGAGAGAUUAAUAUGCAAAUAUAAGGACUUAUUAGUAAUUAUAAUAUUUAGAAACAAAUAUAUAAAAAUAUAAUGAUUAAUUUUAAUAAAAAAAUAUAAAAUUAAAAUUAAAAAUUUUGUAAUUAUCUCUAAAAUUAAUUAUGAUUUCAGUGGCUUAUGAGUUACACCAAAUGGAUGUGAAAAUAAUAUUUCUAAAUGAAAAACUUAAAGAUAAAGUUUAUAAGAGCAAUCUGAAGGCUUCUCAUUUGAAAGAAAACGCCACAUUAUGUGUAAAUUUAAGAAAUCAAUAUAUGAAAAUGGAAAAACAUUUUGAUUAUGGUAUAUUAAUUUUAAUGAUACUAUUAAAGUUUUUUAUUUUCUUAAAAAAUAUUAUUAACUAAAAAAUCAACGGGAGUAAGUUUAUUUUUUUAAUUCUAUGUAUUGAUGACUUAUUGAUUAUUGCAAAUAAUUUAGACAUGUUAUAUGAGACGAAAGAAUUGUGAUAAAUUAAACAAUUUCAAUAGAAUGAUAUGAAAUGUUAUGAAAUGGAAUAAAAUUUUAUAUUAUUUUUUGUAAGCAAUUUAAUAUAUAUUCACCGGAUACGUGCAAGGAAAGUUUAUGAUAUCUCUAAAAAACUAAAGACUAAAUGGUCUGUAAAGGAAAUCAGUUAGUCAAUUUUGUAUCUUAACUAACCCGUUAGAAUAGCUCUACAUCUAACUAAAUGCCAGCACACACUCCUUCAAUUCUUGGACUGUGGCUAGCUCAGGUUUUCUUUUGUAUAUGUACAUCAACAGUAACGAUUUAAAACAUACAAAAAAAAUGGAUUGAGGUUGCACCUGUUUAUGCACCUCCACCAACUAAAUUCUUAAUUUAUUUUUAUUUUGCUGGAUUCUUCAAUCCUUUUCAUGGUAUCAGAGCCUGGUUAAGGUUUAUUCUCUAAUCUCUGCAUUCUAUACCUUUGUUGUUUGAGAUUAGCCAAUAGAUAACAAUGAUGACUCCUGAGGAUUUAGCGAAGAUCAUCGCUGCUAUAAACACAAAGAAUAGCGAAAAUGAUCUGUAUCAUGUUAACAAUUCCGACGCUCCUGGAUUCAGUCUCGUAAACACUCCUUUGAGAGGGCCCAAUUAUCUCUCUUGGAGUUGGUCGGUUCAAAUAGCUCUCAGAGCUAAGAAGAAAUUAGGAUUUAUUAAUGGAAAAAUUAAAGCUCCGGCACUUGAUUCAGAUGAUUAUGAGAAGUGGUUAACGGCAGAUAGCAUGGUUGUAUCAUGGUUGCUAAAUGCCAUGUCUAAGGAUAUUUCUGACGCUUUUGUAUUCUGCAAAAACACAAAGAUACUUUGGGACGAGUUAAAGCACAGUUAUGGCGAGAGCAAUGGGCCCAUGAUUUACCAGAUAGAACGAGAUAUAGCCGGGUACAAGCAAGGUAGUAAUUCUGUGACAGAAUGCUACACAAGUUUGAAGAAGAAGUGGGAUGAGCUAUUGUGUUUAGCUCCACUGCCUGUUUGUUGUGAAACUGGUACCGUAAUUACAAAUUAUGACAGCAAUAGGAGAUUGAUGCAAUUUUUGAUGGGAUUAGGAGAUGAGUAUGACAACGUGAAGAAUCAAAUUCUUUUGCAAGAUCCUUUACCGUCAAUUAAUAAAGCAUACUCCAUGAUCAUGAGUGUGGAGAAACAAAGAGAAGUGCAAAUUGAUAGCACAUCUUCCUCUGAGACUGCUGCAGUAAUGCUUGCUAGAAGAAAUUUUUCUGGAAACAGAAGCAACACGGGAACUGGAAAUAACAGGGCUUCCUUUUCAUCUCGAAAAGAGGACAAGAAGAAGCAAUAUUGUACCAAUUGCAAAGGUGCAGGACACAUAGUGGACGAUUGCUUCAGUCUCCACGGAUAUCCAGAUUGGUUCAUUGAAUUACAGAAGAANNNNNNNNNNNNNNNNNNNNNNNNNNNNNNNNNNNNNNNNNNNNNNNNNNNNNNNNNNNNNNNNNNNNNNNNNNNNNNNNNNNNNNNNNNNNNNNNNNNNNNNNNNNNNNNNNNNNNNNNNNNNNNNNNNNNNNNNNNNNNNNNNNNNNNNNNNNNNNNNNNNNNNNNNNNNNNNNNNNNNNNNNNNNNNNNNNNNNNNNNNNNNNNNNNNNNNNNNNNNNNNNNNNNNNNNNNNNNNNNNNNNNNNNNNNNNNNNNNNNNNNNNNNNNNNNNNNNNNNNNNNNNNNNNNNNNNNNNNNNNNNNNNNNNNNNNNNNNNNNNNNNNNNNNNNNNNNNNNNNNNNNNNNNNNNNNNNNNNNNNNNNNNNNNNNNNNNNNNNNNNNNNNNNNNNNNNNNNNNNNNNNNNNNNNNNNNNNNNNNNNNNNNNNNNNNNNNNNNNNNNNNNNNNNNNNNNNNNNNNNNNNNNNNNNNNNNNNNNNNNNNNNNNNNNNNNNNNNNNNNNNNNNNNNNNNNNNNNNNNNNNNNNNNNNNNNNNNNNNNNNNNNNNNNNNNNNNNNNNNNNNNNNNNNNNNNNNNNNNNNNNNNNNNNNNNNNNNNNNNNNNNNNNNNNNNNNNNNNNNNNNNNNNNNNNNNNNNNNNNNNNNNNNNNNNNNNNNNNNNNNNNNNNNNNNNNNNNNNNNNNNNNNNNNNNNNNNNNNNNNNNNNNNNNNNNNNNNNNNNNNNNNNNNNNNNNNNNNNNNNNNNNNNNNNNNNNNNNNNNNNNNNNNNNNNNNNNNNNNNNNNNNNNNNNNNNNNNNNNNNNNNNNNNNNNNNNNNNNNNNNNNNNNNNNNNNNNNNNNNNNNNNNNNNNNNNNNNNNNNNNNNNNNNNNNNNNNNNNNNNNNNNNNNNNNNNNNNNNNNNNNNNNNNNNNNNNNNNNNNNNNNNNNNNNNNNNNNNNNNNNNNNNNNNNNNNNNNNNNNNNNNNNNNNNNNNNNNNNNNNNNNNNNNNNNNNNNNNNNNNNNNNNNNNNNNNNNNNNNNNNNNNNNNNNNNNNNNNNNNNNNNNNNNNNNNNNNNNNNNNNNNNNNNNNNNNNNNNNNNNNNNNNNNNNNNNNNNNNNNNNNNNNNNNNNNNNNNNNNNNNNNNNNNNNNNNNNNNNNNNNNNNNNNNNNNNNNNNNNNNNNNNNNNNNNNNNNNNNNNNNNNNNNNNNNNNNNNNNNNNNNNNNNNNNNNNNNNNNNNNNNNNNNNNNNNNNNNNNNNNNNNNNNNNNNNNNNNNNNNNNNNNNNNNNNNNNNNNNNNNNNNNNNNNNNNNNNNNNNNNNNNNNNNNNNNNNNNNNNNNNNNNNNNNNNNNNNNNNNNNNNNNNNNNNNNNNNNNNNNNNNNNNNNNNNNNNNNNNNNNNNNNNNNNNNNNNNNNNNNNNNNNNNNNNNNNNNNNNNNNNNNNNNNNNNNNNNNNNNNNNNNNNNNNNNNNNNNNNNNNNNNNNNNNNNNNNNNNNNNNNNNNNNNNNNNNNNNNNNNNNNNNNNNNNNNNNNNNNNNNNNNNNNNNNNNNNNNNNNNNNNNNNNNNNNNNNNNNNNNNNNNNNNNNNNNNNNNNNNNNNNNNNNNNNNNNNNNNNNNNNNNNNNNNNNNNNNNNNNNNNNNNNNNNNNNNNNNNNNNNNNNNNNNNNNNNNNNNNNNNNNNNNNNNNNNNNNNNNNNNNNNNNNNNNNNNNNNNNNNNNNNNNNNNNNNNNNNNNNNNNNNNNNNNNNNNNNNNNNNNNNNNNNNNNNNNNNNNNNNNNNNNNNNNNNNNNNNNNNNNNNNNNNNNNNNNNNNNNNNNNNNNNNNNNNNNNNNNNUGGGAACUGAAACUGAUUUGGCUAUGGGAACUGAAACUGAUUUGGUUGUGGUACCUGCAUCUCCACAACCGGUUCGUCGAAGUACACGACUGAGGAAAACUCCUGCCUGGUUGACUGAUUAUAUUACCAAUAAUACAUCAGAUUCCAACAUUCAUUUUUCCUCCUCUCAUAUGUUUUUUAUUGCCUAGCUAUCUAAAAUCAAAGAACCUUGCAAUUAUAAUUAUGCUAAAACUGAUAUGAAUUGGGUAAAUGCUAUGCAAAAAGAAUUGGAUGCUUUAGAACAAAAUCAUACAUGGAUUUUAACUGCUUUGCCUCCUAACGUUAAACCUGUUGGGUGUAAGUGGGUGUACAGGAUUAAAUAUAAUGCAGAUGGGAGCAUAGACAGAUAUAAAGCAAGGCUCGUCGCCAAGGGGUACAACCAGUUGCUUGGUCUCGAUUACAAUCAGACUUUCUCUCCUGUUGCCAAGUUAGUAACAGUAAGAAUUUUCUUAACUGUGGCAGCCGCAUAUUCUUGGCCAGUGAAGCAACUUGAUAUCAAUAAUGCUUAUUUGCACGGAUCCAUUGAUGAAGAUAUCUACAUGCAAGUUCCUCCUGGUUAUGACAAAGCGGAGAAGGGCCAAGUUUGCAAAUUGCAGCGAUCACUUUAUGGGUUGAAGCAAGCCGGCAGGCAAUGGAAUAAAGAAUUGACAGUCAGUUUGAUGACACAAGGUUUCAAACAAUCUUCUUUCAAUCAUUGCUUGUUUACUAAGGGUCAUGGAGGUUCUUUUAUUGCUAUCUUAGUUUAUGUUGAUGAUUGUUUGAUUACUAGUCCUUUAGCCACCUUAAUUACUGAUUUGCGGCAUUUUUUGGAUAAGAAAUUCACUAUUAAAGAUCUCGGCGAUGUUCAAUAUUUUUUGGGUAUCGAGGUGGCACGUUCGGCAUCAGGAAUGUUGUUAACACAACAUAAAUUCAUUACUGAUAUUAUUCAGGAUACAGGUUUGCAGGAUGCCCGAAUUACAGCUAGUCCGUAUAUUCAAGGCAUUAAGUUGAGUAAAGAUAUGGGACAGCCAUUGCAAGAUGCUGAGAUUUACCGGAGACUCAUUGGUCGGUUGCUUUAUUUAUCCAUGACCAGGCCCGAUAUUAGUUAUGCGGUUCAGCAACUUAGCCAAUAUAUGCAGGUUCCACAUACUAUGCAUCUAAAAGCUGCUCUCACCGUGGUGAAAUAUUUGAAGGGAACUAGUUACAUGGGAUUAUUUUUACCAGCAACAAAUGAUUUGAAACUCCGAGCCUUUUGUGAUGCUGACUGGGCAUCUUGUGUUGAUUCUCGUCGAUCCGUUACCGGGUAUUGUAUUUUCUUCGGUACUUCAUUGGUUUCCUGGAAGACUAAGAAACAGAAUACGGUGAGUCGGUCUUCUGCUGAGUCGGAAUAUCGCGCCAUGGCAUCUACUGUGUGUGAGCUUCGGUGGUUAUCUUCUCUUUUGACUGAUUUUCAUAUUACUAUUGUUCAACCGAUACCGUUACAUUGUGAUAAUAAGGCAGCCAUCCAUAUUGCUGCUAACCCAGUCUUUCAUGAGAGGACAAAACACAUUGACAUUGAUUGUCAUGUGGUUCGUACUCAGCUGCAAGCAGGUUUCAUUACCACUCUGUAUCUCCAUCCUCCUUGCAGCUUGCCGACAUGUUUACGAAACCUUUACCUUCUCAUUCUUAUUCUACAUUUGUGUCCAAGCUUGAGUUGGUUGAUUUCUCCCCAACACCAGCUUGAAGGGGGGGUGUAAAGGAAAUCAGUUAGUCAAUUUUGUAUCUUAACUAACCCGUUAGAAUAGCUCUACAUCUAACUAAAUGCCAGCACACACUCCUUCAAUUCUUGGACUGUGGCUAGCUCAGGUUUUCUUUUGUAUAUGUACAUCAACAGUAACGAUUUAAAACAUACAAAAAAAAAUGGAUUGAGGUUGCACCUGUUUAUGCACCUCCACCAACUAAAUUCUUAAUUUAUUUUUAUUUUGCUGGAUUCUUCAAUCCUUUUCAUGGCCAUUUAUAGAAAGUUUAAUCACUUAAAAGUUGUUAGAUUUCAGUAUAUUCUUGAUGUUGCUUUAUACAUUUAUGUCAAUAGGAUUAUUUAUUUUUAAUAGAUAUAUUGGAUGAUUCUAAUUUUAAUCCACCCACAAUGCAACCCAACUUUACGGCUGUGAUGAAUACAAUUGAUUGGAAGUAUAAAGUGGUAUAUAGAUGUGUAUAAUUUAUUUUUUUCAUAUGGUGGAAAUUUUAUAAAAAUUACUCAUAUAAAUUUUUAAUUUUGUUUUGUACUAGAAUAUCCCAAUUAAUUUUGCAAUUCAGCUCCUUAGAAUGAAUGGGAUGUGGACGAAAGUAUAAGGAUUUGAUAGAAGAAAAUGGUUAGUGAAAUAUGUCACUUGGUUUAGUAGAGAUGGAGUAUUUAGAAAAGCGAUAUUUGAGAAAGAUGGUGUAUAUUUUUUAAUGAAAAUUUAUUGGCCGAAGAUGAUGAGGUGGAAUUCACAUAUGAUAUUUCUGCAGGAGACAAGGUUGUCUUCUAUACUACUAUUAAAAUAUCUAGACUAUAGUUUAAGCCACCAUUAUUUUGAUGCUUGAGUACUUAGAUUUUCUCAAAAAAAAAUUGAGAACAACGUAACAACGUGAGAUAUGACGAGCAAACUCUAAUCAACAAAACUUCUUGAUAUGAUUAUUAUAAGCUUAUGCAAUAAAUGCUUUUAAUGCCAUGCACAUAAUAUUAAACUUUUUGCAUGAAUCAAUAUUUACUAUACUACAACAACAUAGUCUUCGGCCACUAAUAUGUCUUAUUAAAUAAUAUAUUAAAUAAAGAAAAUAUUUAUUUCCACCAUAUAACCCUCUACGUGGAAACUAUAUAUUGACUUUCUAAUGCUAUAUGUAUAUAUAUAAAUUUCUUUUCUUUGAUAGACUUCUUUUUUUUUUUCACCAUAACAUGGAUAGAACUCCAUAUAUGAGGAUUAAAAGGUCCAUCAACUUGCCUACAUCUCCGACAAUGUUGAAAGUAAUAUACAUCAUCAUGAAGCAACAAUUGAAAGAGAUGAGAACUGAAGUGAAACAAUUACUGAAAAGAUUAGUUCAUGAUCUUGGAAAGUAAUACAUAACAGUUACCCAAUUAGAAGAUAUACCACUCAUGAAAUCUUGUGAUAUAUUCCUCCGGUUACUUAAAAUAAGUGAUAACAGAACAGUUAAGGAUAAUAAUGUUAUUGUCAUAUCUGAUACGAACUUAUGCUCAGUAGUUGUCUCUUGUUCAGCCAUUGUCAUAUUUGAUACGUCAACUUCUGCUCAGUAGUUGCCUCUUGCUCGGCCAUUGUCAUAUGAAGAAUGAAAGAUAUUCCAAGUGAGUGAUAUAUUUUGUCAAUGCAUAAAAGGAUAUAUUUUGCGAUUAUUUGCUUUUUUGAUAUAUGUUUUUAUGAACCACCUAUAUAAUUUAAAAAUAUUUUUCUGCUUGUUAAUUGCUUCUUCCUUGAUAUAUCUCCAAGUUGAUAUUUGUUUGAAUGUUGAUUUGUCUUUAGCUUAUCUUAAUGAAUGGAUAACUUUGGUGUUAUGUUUAAUAAGAGUUUUUCUAUCAAGUUAUUUGGAUUAAAUUUAAUUUUAAUUUUUUAAUUUCCAUUGAUUAAAUUAAUCAUUUUCAAUAUAUUACAAAUAUCUCACUAGAUUAUAUCACCAUAUUUUAAAUAGAUUAUUAAUUUAAGUACAUUAUUAUUGUUUGUAAAAUGAAAAAAAAAAACAUACAAAUGAAAUACUUCAAAUUUUCUAAAAAGAAACUUCAUUUAAUAUUUUCAUACAAAUUAACGACAUUAAUAUAAAAUAUCUGUCCUCAAUUAACUUCACUUUUUUCUCUUUUCUGCAAUUUAAACUACAACAAAUAAUUUCUAAAUAAAAAAAUCAAUGUAAACAUCAGCAACAAAGACAUAUAACACUUUAAUGCAAUCCAUGUUUCUUUGUUUCAUAAUUCUUUUUGAAUGAUAAUUUUCAAAAAGAUAUGUAUUGCCAGUUGUUGCACGUUUUUGACUCCACAUGGGUUACCGGGAGAGAUUGUUAUUGUCCAUUAUUAAUGUCCAUUAACGUUUCAGACGAUAAAAUAAAAGAUAUAUCUUUUUCAUAACGAUAUGAAAUUAUACAUGUAUCGUUAACGUAUGUUAUAUGAUCUAUACAAGCUAUUGCGUACACUAAUAACAAGUGAAGCACACUCUUAUUGUGAGUUGUAUAUUAUAAGGAGUGAGUAUUCGGUCGCUUUGAUUUAAAAUCAUAUCAAAUCGAAUAAAUUAAAAAUUUAAAUUUUAAUAUUUAUAAAAACUAAACCAAAUCGAUUUUAAUUAAAAAUUAAAUCAAAUCAAACCGAUCUAAUUCAAUUUGAUUCAAUUCAAUUCGAUUUAAUCGAUUUAAAUUUUUAAUAAUUUUUUUUUUAUUUUUUACAUUUUAUUUUUAAUAUUUUAAAAUUUAAUUAGAAUAUUUUUAACUCUAAUACGAUCUAAUCUCUAUAUAUUAUUCAAUAAUAUAUUAUUAUCACUAAUCGAUUCGAUUUGAUUUUUUCAACUCAAAACCGAACUGAAAUAACUGAAAUUUUUAAAAUUAAAAACCGAACCGAACAGAAAUUAAUAAAAAAUAGAACUAAAUUUUCGAAUUAAUUCAAUUCGAUCAAUUUUUUCGGUUUGAACCGAAUACUAGUAACCUAAUCCAUAAGUUAUUAUUAAAGACAAUAUAAAUUUUUUUUUUCUUUCUACUGUUUGCCAUGAGAAAUUGUUUAAAGAAAUUGUUCAGAAUCGUGAAGUGAGUUGAGACUUGUGAAAUUGGUUAAAGUCAUAAUGAUGAGAAAUUCUAAUAGCUCAUCAUGGCUCCUAGCCUAAUAGAAACGAGCCAUAUUCAAGAAGGGUAAUCUUGUUAAAAAAUUCAAAACAAAUACAAAAAUGCCAUUUUGAGUUAGCUCAAAUUGAGUCCCGUAGCAUUAUUGACGUAAAUAACUGCUAUUAAAAAGUCAUUUUAAUGAAUAAUUCAACCAUUUAUAUAAAUCAGUAUUGAAAUAAAUUAAAAGUAUAACUUAUCCGGCAUUCCCCAAAAUUUAACAAACACACCUCAUCACUACCUAAAAACUAACACAGAUCAUUAGCAUCUCCCCUGGAAAUUUAGAUUUUUGCUAGCAGAGACUUUGUCAACUCUUGACAAUGUCAACAUCCAGACAUGAAAUACCCCUACAAAAUUGAACCAAGCUAUUUUAUAAAACUAGUGUUACUUGUCAAAGUAAAAAACUGUAAUACGAGGAAGUAAUGAUUUUUUCUUAAAAAUUUCCUUCUCCUUCCCACCCACUUCUUGACUGUUGCUAAAGAUCAAAGUCAGCCCCUGAAUAACAAAAAUGUCUGUCAAGUGCACAACUACGACCCUACUUGAAUCAAAUACAACAAUCACUAAAAGCACAAACAUGUGCAUCAUUUCUCCUCCAUGCGUCGUAGCACCGACUCGGCAAAUCUUUGUUGCCUGAGAUACAAAAUGGCCAAUGAAUUUGAUACUUAGUAAUAUUGAAUGCAGACUAUGACAUUUUAGUUAUUCUCAGUUUCAGAAUCAAUUUAGCAAUCAGAUGUACCAAAUAAUUUCUACAUGGAUACAAAAAUCUAGGACACUGGGAAUACUUCAUAUGAAAGACGGCUUUGCUAUACCCAGUGUGUAGCACAAACCAAUUAACAAUUGACAUGUAUCAUGAGUUUUACACUUACUAACAAAACCCCAACAAAGAUUGGAAUCAUGUGUCUGGAAGACGAGAUAUUUUGCUUACAUGGAUGAAUUCAGAAACUCUCUUAAGCAUCCAUCUCCAGUUCCAGUUACUAAAGCAUAAAGUCAAUAAUAUAAAUAAAGGGUUGAGCAUUAUUCAUUAAACUUAAUUAACAUAUCAAAUCCCUGAUACUUGAUUUAAUCUUUUCCUUUGAUUUAGUUUUUGGUUAAUUUAGUAUUAUAGAAAUAAAUAAACCUAUCUGCCAAGUUGAACUCUUGAAGAGACCUUUACUCUCAUAUUUUGACUUCAUUUGAUUGUCACCAAUAUUUAGGUUUUCGUUCCACCUUGUGCUACAAAUUAAAGUUUUGAAGCACUUGUUUUAUAAAGAAUCCUGUUAGUUACAAGGUAGUACAAGUAAUUGAUUGAAAGAAUUUGGGGAACUGUGGAUCUAUUAUCUCUAAGCACGUUAGGGUUGGACAUAUCAAGUUGUCAGCUUCUAUUAUAACUUACAAGCUAUCCCAGUGGGCACACCAAAAUUAGUUACUACUCGCUGCCUGUAAUAGUAAGAGAGACUGGAUAAAAAAAAUUAGUUUUACUUGUUUAAUUCCAAUUUAGAUGCAUUCUUUACCUGUUUGCAAUUUUCUAUUCUUCUUUGAUUCUUUUACUUACACCUGAUCCUUUCAAAGUCCAAAGAAAGCUUUCACCUCUUUUUAAAGACAGUGUCUGUCAACUUAACUAUUUGACUUCUUAAAAGAUAACUGAAACAACUGAGCAGACAGAACUUAAAUGUUUGGUUUGGUUAGCAUUAGUAGGAAUUCCAUUAUCUAUAUCAGUUAGAAAGCUGGCACUAACAGACAAAAUCGAUAAUAAAAAUAUCCACAGAAUUCAAGGAUUAGUUUAACCCAGUAGGUAUAGAUUGUAGAACAGGCUGUAACCGCAUCACUAUAAUGCUAAACAGGUGAGAUUAGUGUCCAGAGAAGCACAUGCUGGUCCUUCAGACACAGUACCAACAGGCUCAGGUGAAGUAAAGGUGAAAAAUUAUGGGCAAGAGAAGCCAUAAAACUGGCCACAGAGAGAGAGAGAGAGAGAGAGAGAGAGAGAGAGAGCUAUUGAAUUCCUAUCUAUGCAAAACUAGAAACAGGGUAAUAAUAAGGUGUCUGGAAGAGCCAGGGGAAAAAGCAUAGAAAUUAGAAAAGUUGUAGACUUACUUUCGCUCCCUAUGUUUUGGGCUAGGGCGAGAGUACUUCAGAUAUCCAUCCCAAGGAACCUUUUUGAGACCUGCUCGUACAGAUAUUAUGUCCCUGACCCUGCAUACAGCAUUCAAAAUGAAUCCAUGCAUCAUUGUGGAGAGUUUACAAAGGAAAUUUGUUUCCGUACAGAAGAUUACGACACCUGACAAAACUUUCUCAUGACAAUUAAAAAUAAAGUAAUUUACCUCUCUGCGAAUUCGAUGGGCGUCUCUCCAGGUUUCAGAUUUUGAGGCUCCAAGUACCACACAUCACAAACAACAGCCCAGGAUGUCAUGAGUUGCAGUAGAUGCAUUGUAAAGGACUGCCUGCACAAGAGACAUGUAAGACAUUUCACUGAUAUCACCAAAAGUAUGCCAAUGUCUUGAUAUCUGAAGCAUAUGAUAAAAUUGGACACCAGGAUAUUUAGCCCAAAUUAGUAAAACAAAUAGAUUGGUCACUCCCAAUAACUCAAUAAAUUUACAUACUGGAAGGUUAAAUUUGAUGAAGUAUCAUCCUAGAUCACAAGCAUUGAACCAUUCUUGUAGGUGGUGGAUUAUGUGAAAGGCACUGAUUUUCAUUGUGUACUAUUCAUUUUUCAACAGGAUUGGAAGAGUAACAGAAAUGUUUAUGUAUCUCAUGGAUGGUCAAAGCAUCUUGUUCUGGUUUCCUGGUGUAAAUGCAUUUCUACUUAACAGCUUAAUUUUUGUGCAAAAAACAGCAUCUUGGAUAAUAAUAAUGAGUUGAGAUAGGUAUGCAAUAUUUUAUGGAACUUGUUGAGACAAGAAUGCAUUAGAUAUCAAAAAAACUAAGUGAAUAUCCUUACUUCCGGCUGUUCCAAAAAGCAUCAACAAAAAGUUUAUUGUAUUUGAUUGCAAUUGGGCAAACAGUACAGCCCAGUUCAAAUGCGCCCUAUACACGACAACGAGAAGAAAAGUCAAUGAAAACAACAAGAGUAAAGCUUAAAGUAACAAGAAGUUUUCCGCCCAAAUUUCUUAAUACCUUUUUGAACAUCACAGUAUAGUGGUUGUUGACACAAGUUCCUUCAGGAAAUAUAAGAAGUGGGUUAUUGUCAGCUCCCUGAACAUGUUCCCUUAACCUGAAAUAUAUAUAUUCUUAUGAUCAUUGUGCACAUAGUAUUGCAUUAAGGAGAUUUUGGCCUACUGCAUUUAAGCAUACUUUUUCGCUACAAUUUCACGAUCCUUUGACUCUGAACGAUUGAACCAGAUACAUCCUAGGCUCUCUAAUAUAGUGCUUUGCAAUAGUCCUACACAAAUAACAAAAUAAAAUUAAUCACUCUAUUCUGUGCCAUUCAAUUUAAAAUAUGCACAAAGUUAGCCUAAGUUUCAAGCACUGUAGAAAAGUUGGCAUUCCACUUCUGUUGCUGCAUUUUUCAGGAAAAUACAAGCAAAAACUAUUCAAUGGAAUUCAUUCCUGAGACUUUUAAAUUUAAUACACAGAACUACCACUUGGAUAUUAUUAGUUAAACACAAUAAUGGGUACUAUUUUUGUUAUUUUACUGCAAGGCACACAAUACAAUCAUACAAUCUAAACACUUACCAACCCAACCAGGAUGUUUCUGCAUAAUAACAGCAAAAGCAGUCAUCUGUUCUAAGAUGAUAAAAUCAAUCAUGGAGGUAUGAUUGGCCACAAAAACCUGGUCAACAAUAAACAGGUUCAUGUAAACAUAUGCACAUUCCUUGGACAAUCCAAAAAUGAUAAAUAGUCAAAACUUUACUAGGUAUGCAUAAAAUGCACUAUGAGCUGGUAUCCAAAUAAGAAAAAAGAAUUACUCAAAGGCACCUGUUUAGGUCGCAUGCUUGGCCGUGGCCCGUGGUACUUGACAACUCCAGUCCAUGAUGCCACAAAGAAGCUGCAAAUUAACUCCACCAAACACCUCUAGAAGGAAAACCAAAAACAAUAACGAGGAACUAAAUCCAGUGUAAUUUUCAACAGCUAAUAUGUAAAAAUUCAAGAGUGAAAAAAUAAAAAAUAGAAGUGAUAAGCCUUGGAAAGUAAGCUUCUUAUAUUUCAUGUGUAUUACAAUAUUACAAUAAAUCAGGAAGGCAUUAUAAUUUCUUUUUGCUCUACGCAUAUCUUUGUUUUCAACAGAUUAGAUACCCAUCAAACAUGUACAAAUAACUGAUAUGACCAAACAUAUCAAACAAAAUACCAAUAUCAGAUAAAUAUUACAAAGAGGAUUACAUUUCACCUUCUAUAUGUCCAGUUCUUUGAUAAAUUAAGUAGAACUCCUUGGAUAUCAUGGUUCAUUGGGAAGGAGGAAAACUAAUGGACCUUCCAUGUGAUUGACUAUCAAGGUGUUUAGUGUUUUCCAGCAUAUACACCAUAAAAUCAGGGAAUCCAACCUUUAAAUUUUCUGACAGCCAUUGGUACUAUUAGAUUUUUCAUACAGUCUAACAUCAUGUGUGAAUUAUCAGGUUGCUUAAGCAUAUACUAAGCUCUCCUAUCAGUCCUCAAUAACUAGAUGGCUUCAUGAUUUCAAAACAAAAGGAAAGUAUCUACUAAAUGGUACUUCACAUGAUUCAUUAAGUCAAAUUCUAGAAAAGUUACACACAGAAACAUAACACUGCAAAAACAUGGACUUUUACUCGACUUAAUAUACAAGUUAACAUAAACUAGUAUAGGCAACAAAAUCAUGACAAGAUAAAUAUCAAACCAUCCAAAUAUAUAAAACCAGAAUUUUCAAAAUUCCACUUCUCACAUUUAUACAUAAAUAUACAAAUUUUAAACAUUUAAAAGAAGUAUGGUGUAAAAGAAAGAACUUUAAGUACAUAAAUUAUUGGCACCUCUAGCUUUUUUCUCAACUUGUCAUUCCCUUUCAGUAGAAAAUGAACAGGUAUGUAGGACGAAAGAAAAAUAAUCCACCCUAUAGUCAGUAUUAGAACCCUGCAGAUUUAAUUGAGAUUCAUCAGGCAGCUAAAAUAAAAACAGAAGUCAUGUAGGAACUCAUUAAAAGUUAAAUCAUCAUCACAACCAGUAUCACUUUUAGCUGUCCAAAAUUUAAAACUACAUAAAAAAUAAAANNNNNNNNNNNNNNNNNNNNNNNNNNNNNNNNNNNNNNNNNNNNNNNNNNNNNNNNAAAAAAAAAAAAAACACAAUCAACCUUUUUGACACUGUCCCAAGGUUGUAUCAAGUAGGAGUCCAUUAAUACAAUGAACAUUCAAAAUUGGGCACAAGAAAGCAUUACAUAUAAAGUAAUCCCUUUACAAGACAGAAUGUUACCUGGUAGGGAACAAAAUCCCAUAUCGAAUUACCACACCACAACACCACAGGGGAAACAGAUAUAUAUUCCAAUUCCAUGGUUCUGGGGGAUUUGACUUGAAACAUCGUGUAAAUGAGUCCUGUUCAAUAUCACCAUAAGGGGGAAAAAGGCAAAUCAAAAAGGGAAAGGAAGAGCAACUUAUCAGUCUAAGCUAACAGAAAAUAUUUGCUAAAAAACAAUUCUAUUAAAUUCGUCUAAAAACAUUUUUGUUUCUUUUGGAUGAAGCAAUUUAUGAAUACAGCCCUACACCCAAUCAAAUGGAGCAAUAGGACCUGUGCAGUGACCACAUUUAGAUUGGGAAUAAGGCUUGGUUGAGUUCAAAUAGAGUCUUGUCUAGAAAUUCCUGUAAGUUUCAAUAGACUAUAAUUGUUUUCUUCCGAUGCAGCAUUUACAUUUAAGGGGCCAAAGAUACAUUUAAGUAAAAUCAACAUUUUAAAAUUUUAUUAGAAAACCAGGCCUCAAUGUUCCUACACUUCUUCGCUAAAAAGCCAAACUAAAAAUUUUCUUCACGUAAGUACAAAAAAAAAAUACGCAGGGAACUCACAUCAACAAUAGCACCAGCAGCCUCUGUUAGGAUUGGCGAAAUGUCAAGCAAAUCACGCCUAACAAAAAAUUAGAGAGGGAAAAUAGAAACCUUGAAGCUUAAAUUGCAAAUUGAACGAACUCUUAAGAGAGAGAGAGAGAAGGAAAGGUGUUUACAGGCGAAGCUUGCCGUGAGGUUCUUGAAUGGCAGAUCCGGAAGGAAGGUAAUCUUCGAUAUUGGGUCGAUCUAAGUCCAAUUCAGAGCUCGAGGUUUUUAGCUUAGCAGGACUUCUCAUCUUCGGCUGUGGCUAUCGUGUCUCGAUCAGAGAGAGAAAGAGAUGCUGUCUUUGUGACCCUAAAAGAUCGAGUGAUUUCAAGCGUUGUUUUUCCUCCUCAUUCUGUUAUGCCAACUCCAAAUUCUCUGUUUGUUUCGUGAGAAAUGGUUAAUUCAUUCUGUUUCUUUUGUAAGGAAGUUGGAUGAGAAAUUGAUUUCGUCCAUGCGCUUACGCAUACCAAAGCAAGGACCUGGUUUUGUCUAAUCAGCGUCGUGUAUUUCGACCCAAAAAAAUAAAUAAGUGUCGUCUAAGGUUUAGGCUUAGUUUUGUCUGGGAAGUAUUUCAUGUGGAACAUGUGAUAAUUUAUUUUUUAUUAUUUUAUUUUAAUUUAAAAAAUAAAUUAUAUUAAUAAAUUUAUAUAUGAAAAUUUUAAUAAGAUAUUUAAAAUAUGAAAAGUAAUUUUUCUUUUUAAGGUUAAAAUUAUUUUAAAAAAAAUUAAUUAAUUUAUCUCAAAAUUUUAAAAAUAUAUUUCAAAAAAUUUAUUUAUUAAUCUUUCUGUUAAUUUUAGCAGUUAAAUAUUAUAAAAAAAUAUAAAAUAAUUUUGAUAUAAAAAUUAAUUAAUUAAUUUUUUAAAAUUUAAAAAAAAUUAAUAAAUUUUUUAAAAUUAUAAGGACUAAUUAGUAAAAUAUUUAAUGGUAAAAUUGACACAAACACCUAUUAUUAGUGAAAAAUUAACUAGUAAAUUUUUUUAUACUAAUAGAAACCGAAUAGUAAUUUUUUUAAAAAAAAUAAUUUGAAUUUUUUUAUCAAAAAUAUAUUUUUUAUUAAUUAAAUUUUAUGAGUACUUUAAAUAUCAGAAAUGCAAAAAAAUACUUUUUUAGAAAAUAUUUUUCAUAAAAAAUAGAGGUUUAAAAAAUAAAUAAGCUACUUUUAUUUGUGAAAAAUAAUUUGUAUUUAGAUAAUAUUUAAUAUUUAAUAUUUUUAAUUUAUAAAAUAAAAUAUAUUAAUAAAUUUUUAUAUAAAAAUUUUAAUAAAAUUAUUAAAAUAUAGAAAAUAAUUUUUUUAAAAAAAUAUUUUAAUUUUAUUUAAUUAAUAAAAUAUUUUUUAUUUACUAAAUUUUUUGAAUAGCUAGUGGGAAUAUUUUUAUUCAAACAAAUGAAGCUUUAAUAACCUACAUUUUCUUGUGGGACAAUUUAAUAACAUAAAAUUAAAUAUUUACAUAAAAAGGUAUUUUAAAAUACAAUGUACAUAAGAUUUUACAAAAUCUCUAUUUUUUAAGUGUUAAAUGCUAAAAAAAUCUUGAAAUUUUUAAUUUUGAUUGAUGUGUUUGUUAAUUUCUAUAACUUAUCUUUAUUCUACUGUUAUUAACACAGUUAAAAAUUAACGGUAAAGUAGAUUCGCUAAAAAUAUAAAAAUAUAGAGCAUAAUUAUAAAAGUAUAAUAUAGAUUUUUUAUUUUUAAAAAUUAUAAUUUUAUCAUAAUUUUAUACUUUAAUUACUUAUUUUUAAUAGUUUUUUUAGAAAAACUUUAUUAUUAUUAUUAUUAUUACUGCUGUUAUUAUUAUGUCUUUUAUUUUUUUAUCUAAAUAAGAGUAAAGAAUAUUUAUUUUAAAAAAAUUAUUUUAUUUGCUGUAAAUCUAAUUUUUAUAAUUCUUUAAUUAUUGAGAAGGAAAAAAAAUAAUAUAAUUGAUAAAAUAAGAUAUUAUUAAAUUUAAUAUACAUAAAAAUAUUUAUUUCAAAAAACUGAUUUAUUAAUCAAAUAAAACUUCAAAAAUUAUAUUAUAGUAAAUUUAUUAAUUUUUUAAAUUUAAUUUAGUGCGUGACUAAUUUUAAAGUUCUGAGUAUAUUUAUUAAUUUUUUAAAUUCAAGUUAGUGCGCGACUAAUUUUAAAGUUCUGACUUUUUUGAUAAAAAAAAUAAAGUUUGUGAUAUAAAUUUUAUCUUUUAUAAAUAUUUGAAUUAUUUUUUCCAAUAAUCUUAAAGAAUAUAUUUAAAAUGGAAAGUUUUAUUAUUAUUAUUAUUAUUACUAUUAUUGUUAUUAUUAUAUCUUUUUUUUUUUAAAAAAAAUAGAUCUACUAACAAUAUAUCAAAUAUUCUCUUGAUUAUUUCAUUUAUUUUUUUAUUAAUGAAAAGUUUAAAUUUUGUAUUUUUUACAAUUAUACCCUGUGUUUUCAUAUUUUAACAGAUCUACCGUUCAAAGUUAGUGGCAUUAGUAAUGGCAAUAAUAUAAUAUCCCAGUAAACUCCGAUAUCAGAAUUUCAUCUUUUCAAUGAAAUUUCCAUUACAAUUCGAAAUCUCAAAAUUAAAAAUUUUAAAAGGAUAAAAUAAGUUAUAAAAUAAAAUUUUAAGUAUUUUAAAAUAUAUUUUUAAAAAAUGUUUUAAAAAGGUUUUAAGAUUCGGUCGCCAAAGGUGAUUUUUUCAAUCCACCUAUAAAUUGAGCUCAAUCCGAAAAUGGAGAGAGGUUUUCUCCAUUUUCGAGCAGAGGUGGGCAUAUGUCAACUCCUAAUAUUUUCUCGCUAUAUUUCUCUUAAAACUCUCAUAAAUUUAUGAUUUUCUUUUUAGUUUAAAGUUUUUGAUUGAAAAUGACAAAGUUUUAUAAGGUCUGGCUUUAUUCAUAAUCCUUUUCUUCCUCCUUCUGAAUUUUUUGUUGUUUUCUUAAAGAGGUAAGUUUUCAAUCCUUGUUUUUCUGUUGAUAUAAGGGGUUGAAGUAGGUUUGUUUCUAUUUUGGGUUGAUAGUUAGAAUGCACGCAAGUCCUUUGUUGAUUUUUGAAGUUGAGUUUUGUUUUAAUUUAAGAAUCUCUUUUUGAUGAAUGCAUGUUGAAGUUUAGGUUAGUUUUGAGUAGUCCUUUGUAUUCUGAGUUGCAAAUAUAUGCUUUUAGGUAUUGCAUGUGAGUUUGGUUAGGUUUUGAGGGCUAUUGACAGAAGGCAGAAUUGAGUUCUGCAUUGCAGAAGACCAAGGUUCGGCCGCUGAUCCUGCCUGUGAAGGCUGCUCUUCAGGCAGCCUAACCUGCCUAUGAAAGUUUGACUUUCAGAUCUAUAAAGGACUUGAGGCAGAGAAGAUAUGUAGAGCUGCUUAGUCAUUAUGAUUGCAAAAUAUAGUAUCCUUUGAGUACAGUAAACAUAGUGGCGGAUGCUCUUAGUCGGAAAUCACUUAGCAGUUUAUCCCAUAUCUCUAUGGAAAGGAGACCAGUGGUGAAAGAGUUUUAUAGGCUAGUCAACAAAUACUUAUAGUUAGAGUUAUCUAGUACAUGUAUUUUGGUGGCACAGAUGAAAGUGACACUUAUAUUUCUGAAAUAAGUGGCACAGAAACAACAUAAGGACCAAGAGUUGGUGAAAAUAGCAAGAGCAGUUCAGCAAGAUAAGAAUGAUGAUUUCAAGUUUGACAACAGAGGGAUUCUUCAUUGUGAAAACAACUUAUGUGUACCAGAUGACAUAAGAUUAAAAGGAGACAUUAUGGAGAGGCUCAUAAUCCAGGUGCAGUGUCCACCCUGGAGCUAUCAAGAUGUAUCAGGAUCUGAAGGAAGUGUACUGGUGGCUUUAUAUAAAGAGAGAAGUGACUCAUUUUGUGUCUAUUUGUGAGGUGUGUCAGAAGGUGAAGUUAGAACAUCAGAAACUAGCUGGAAUGCUCAACCCACUACUGAUUCUAACAUAGAAAUGGGAGCACAUGGUAAUAGAUUUUAUAGCAGGGUUACUGAUGACAUCAAACAGACAUAACUCUAUAUGGGUAAUAGUGGACAGGUUGACUAAAUAUGCUUACUUUAUCUCUAUCAGGAGUGGUUACUCUGUGGAAAAAUUGGCACAGAUCUAUUUGGAAGAAAUCAAUUAGAUUGCAUGGGUCUCCAAUUUAUAUAGUGUCAGAUAGGGGACCCUAGUUUACUUCUAAGUUUUAGCAGAGUCUACAGAAUAUUAUGGUUACAAGGUUAGAUUUUAGCACUGCUUUCCAUCCACAGACUGAUGGACAGUCAGAAAGAACCAUCCAAACCAUAGAAGAUAUCUGAAGGAUGUGUGUACUAGACUUUGGUGGUUCUUAGAAGCAAAAUCUACCAUUGAUAAAGUUUUCUUAUAAUAGUAGUUACCAUGCUAGCAUUGGGAUGGCUCCCUAUAAGGCUUUAUAUGGGAGGAAGUGCAGAUCACCUGUUUGUUUGAAAGAAGUAGGAGAAAGGGUUUUAGUAGGGCUAGAAUUAGUAGAGAUCACCAACAAAGUGGUGCCCAUUAUCAGAGAAGGAAUCAAAACAACCGUAAGUACGCAGAUGAACUAUGCAGACAUCCAUAGGAAGCAAGUUGUCUUCUAGGACGGAGAUAUAGUUUUACUUAAGGUGUCUCCUAUGAAAGGGAUGAUUCAUAUUGGAAAGAAAGUUAAACUAGCUCUAGUAUACAUCAGACCCUUUGAAAUCUUAUAAAAGAUUGGAAAUGUAUCUUAUAAGUUAGAUUUACCUGCUUCUAUGGAAAGAAUCUAUCUAGUUUUCCAUGUUUUCAUAUUACAGAAAUUCAUUUCAGAUCCGGGCAAGGUUCUUAGUGAGCCUGAUGUAGAGACCCUAGAAGAUCUCACCUAUGUUGAGCAGCCAGUAUGCCGCGUAAUAACUCUACCAAAGGUGAUCUUAUUACAGGAAUAGCUUUUAGCAUGCCUGUUACAAUUUUUACCACCCAAUAACCAUUGUAGACACGCAGAUUAGAAAACUGAGAAACAAGAAAAUUACGAUGUUAAGUGUUUUAUCAUAUCACCACAAUAUGGAAAAAUGUACUUGGGAGACUAGAGAGUUUAUGCUUAAAUAGUAUCCUCAUCUCUUUUGAAGUAAAUUGUUAGAUGGUUUUAUGUGUUUUCUUGAUGUGUAUGAUAUGUGUUUACAUAUAUGAUUGAACAUUUGAGAAUAAAUGUUCUUAAGGGGAAAGAAUAUAAUAUCCGACUACUUCAAUGGAAAGAAUCCAUCCGGUUUUCCAUGUUUCAAUGUUGAGGAAGUUUGUGUCAGAUCCGAGCAAGGUUCUUAGUGAGCCUGAUGUGGAGGUCCAAGAGGAUCUCACUUAUGUUGAACAGCCAGUACGGAUCCUAGACACCCAGAUCAGAAAGUUAAGAAGGGUAGACCAGGAGGUUAGCCAGAGUUUUGAAGUAUGUGUAUAUAAUAGUUAGAUGGUGGACAUGACAGUUGUACUAUAAUGUAAUGUAAGAGAUUACAGUAUGUUAUGUAAUGAGGUAUAUUGAGGUUAUAGAUGUGCUUGACCCUAUGAGUAUUGUUAUCCCUUUUGAUGCAUGAUCUUAGAUUUUUAUGAUACAGAUGUUAGCCAAACUCAACACAUGUAUAUCGCCCUUUGGGGCAUUGAUGAGAUCCCAUAGAGGGGUCAGGUUAUGAUGAUGAUUAUGUAUAUGUUCAGUGCAUGCACAGGUUGAGUUUGGUGUAUGAGAAAUGAAUGAAAGAAAAGUUUUAAAUUUUAUGUAUGUUCUUGAUCAUGUAUGGGGUUAAACAGGUUUCCAGGAUGUAUGUUUGGCUUGCUACG
Molecule: long non-coding RNA, 78607 nt
Filed under: Manihot esculenta (cassava)
Lineage: Eukaryota; Viridiplantae; Streptophyta; Magnoliopsida; Malpighiales; Euphorbiaceae
Description: long non-coding RNA (MESC_LNC002368)
Source: RNAcentral